This 50374-nucleotide long non-coding RNA is filed under the name Gossypium raimondii (Peruvian cotton). RNAcentral describes it as "long non-coding RNA (GRAI_LNC000908)". The stretch from base 20359 to 20482 matches the Rfam family "MIR7504 microRNA precursor family". Lineage: Eukaryota; Viridiplantae; Streptophyta; Magnoliopsida; Malvales; Malvaceae. The record is from RNAcentral.
UUCUUGAGUUGGCAAUUUGUCUUUCCUCCUCCUAUUUUGCAAGAUAAUGAUAAUCAGAGCCACAACCAAAAUUGUGGAGGCAAUUGGCAGAGCUACAUAUAGUAUGAGCUUAGUUUUUGCCUUGGAAUUUCUAAGAGGUCUAGUUUUGCAGUUUGGAACAUGAAGCCGAGCUGCACCACACAAGGCUUCAUUCCCCUUAAAUGAUUCGAUUGUGUAGUUUUCAAAUGAUCCUCCUUCAGGAAUUUCACCUUCAAGCCUAUUAAAAGAGACAUUGAAAUAUUUGAGAUAACGGAGUUUCUCUAAGGAUUUGGGAAUCUCUCCAAAUAGAUUAUUUCUUGACAAGUCCAAGAAUUCCAAACUCAACGAUUCAUCAAAAGACUCAGGAAUAGAACCCGUGAUUCUAUUAUUGGAUAAGGAAAAAUGAGUGAGGUCCUUGAGAUCUGCAACUCCAGUUGGGAUAUCACCUGAGAACUGAUUGUUCGACAAAUCCAAACUACUCAAAACUUUCCAUUUUCCAAUGUCAAUUGGCAGUGGACCACUCAGAGAAUUUGAAGACAAGUAUAGGAUGAGGAGAUAGUUAAGCCUUGUCAACGUUGACGGUAUUGAAGAGGAAAACAUAUUGGAGUCUAGAAAUAGUUGCCUUAAUGAAGUGAGAUCACCUAAGCAAGUAGGUAUUGGCCCAGACAAUUUGUUAUUGGUUAAGAACAAGAAAGCCAAUUUGUUUAGAUGACAUAACUCAGUUGGGAUGGAUCCCUCUAACUUAUUGUCCUUAAGAGAAAGACUUUGCAACUCUUCCAAUCCUCCAACUGUAGUAGGAAUCUGUCCUAUCAAUUUAUUGCCUCCUAGCUCAAGGCUUAUCAAGUGACUUAAGUUUCCAAUUUCACUGGGGAUGCUACCCCUGAUGUUGCAUGCAGAAGCAGAGAACUCUUCAAGAGAACUUGAGAGAUUUCCUACCACUCUUGGAAGUUCACCACUAAUAAAUGAGUUGAUCUCGAAAAAAAGGCUCUCCAAGACUCUACAGUUUGUCAAAGAAAAGAGAAAGCUCAUUCCUGAGGAAGUUAAAUUAUUAUUCGCCAGGUUGAGAAUCUUUAAAUUUCUUAGAUUUCCCAGAUUAUCAGGAAUGGACCCUGAAAAGUAAUUACUAGACAUGUCAAGAAGAGUAAGCUGAGAGGCAUUGGAAAUAUACAUUGGGAUCGAGCCGGCAAGGUGAUUGAAACCAAGAUAUAGUUCCUCCAUGUUUGGAAGGAAAAGGCCCAUGUUUGAUGGAAGAUGGCCAGAGAGCUGAUUUGUAGCCAAAGAAAUCAUCCUUAGAGUUGAAAUAUUGAACAGUUGUGGAGGAAUAGAACCAGCAAUAUUGUUAAAUUGUAAAUUCAACCAAUUUAGAUUCUUUAGGUUGCCAAUCUCUUGUGGUAUUAUACCUGCCAUAAAUUUUAUCAAACAAAAAUAUUAGACAAAUAUGAGGAAGAAAAUAGUUUAUAUAUAUGAAACAUUUGCUUAUAUUUUUUAUAAUGUGUACAAUUAUAGACAAUUAGAAUCAACAAUAUUUACAAAAAAAAAAUUAAUUCACAAUAAGUUUAAAUUGAAUAUUUUAGGUUUAAAGUUGGAAUAAGUUCAAAAUGAGAAGGGAUUGUAUGAAAUUGUGAUUCCACGUCAUGAUCAGAUUUUUCCUCCUAUUUUUAGCUUUUUCUUCUUGAAAAAAUUAAAAUCUAACUAAAAAAGUUGAAAAUUAGGAGGAAAAAUCUGAUUUAUCAUUCUCCUAUUGGAAAGGAAUAAAAAUGACGUGAAAUUACAGUUUUAUACAAUCACUUCUCGUUCAAGAUAUAGAAAAUAAUGAUGAAAUAAAUGAUAAAGAACAAACAUUCAUAAGUCAAAUAAAAUAAUUAAGAACAUAAAAAUAAAUCAAAUAUGAUUUUUGGUUCCUUGAAGUUUUGUUUGGCCUCAACAGGGAUAAACGUAAAUAAUGGACUUAAAAAAAAAAGAAAUAUACUAAUUGCAAUAACUAUGAAAAAUUUUAUAAUUAUUGUAGAAUAAUCAAAACACAGAAAGCGGUUGAGCAAAAACAAAGUUCAAAUUAAUAAAAAACUAUCGGUAAAAGUUGCAAAUUAAUAAAAAUAAUUUAGCUCUUUCUUAUACAUUCACCUGUAAAAUUGCUAUGGGAACAAUCAAACUCCAUAAGAAGAGUUAAAUUCACAAUUUGUUUAGGAAUUUCACCUGCAAUUAUAAAAUUCACAUUUCAAAUUCAAAAUUCAUCUCCUAGCAACGAUUAUAAGAAUAAAAUUAAGGUAUAAUGACUUGUUUAGCUCUUCAAUUUUAUUAAAAAGAAUCAUUUUAGUCUUUCAUUUAAUUUUUCAUCUCUUUUAGCUCUUAAACUUGCGAUGUUUGUCAAAUCAUCCCAAAAUGAAUUGAAAAUUCCAUGUGCUUGCCACAUCAACAAUUAGUUUUUUAAAUUUUAAAAAAUUCUAUUUUAUUGCUAACGUGUCAGCAAAGUAAACAAACAUUAACUUUUUCAUACAUUUUUUUGGGCUGAUAUAACAAAUAAUACAAGUUCAAGAGCUAAAAGAAAAGGAAAAUUAAAUAAAGAGUUAGAAUGACUUUUUUUUAUAAAGUUGAAGGGCUAAAUAAAUAAUUAUUCCUAAAGUAAAUAAAGCACGUUAGCAAGGUAUUUCACACAUACACACUUCCAAGCCAAGUUGGAACUAAAAGUAUAUUUCUCUCAUCAUUUUCAUGUAGUUUAUUCUUCAAUGUUCUUUUGAAAAAUUUCAACUAUGUAUUCGUUUAAUAAAUAAAUUUAUAUUUUCAAUCUCAAUAGAAGAUUGAUCUAAAUUAUUAUAGUCAUUACCUUAAUUUCAUUAAAAAAAAAUCGUUCCUUGCAUCUCAAAGUACUUAAAAAAAAAGUAAACACUUCAAAAGGUUUUAAAAAUGGUUAGCAUAUGUUACCAUCAAAGUGGUUCCGACCAAUAUAGAUGUAUUGAAGCAUACUCAAAUUCCCAAUUUCUAUUGGUAGGCUCCCCUCCAUUUGGUUAUACGCUAAAGAUAACAUUUGUAACUCUUUGCACUUGAAUAGACUGGCAGGAAUUCUACCAGAAAGCAGGUUACGACUCCAGUACAAUCCUUUCAAAUUUGGAAGAUGAUCAAACAUAUCUUUUGGGAUAUGACCAGUGAGAUUAUUGGAGGAGAAAUGGAUGACUUCUAGCAAAAGCAAAUCACGUGGAACAGAGGGUAUGGAACCAGAAAGCAUAUUGUAGCUUAGAUAUAUUUCUUGCAACGAAGAGAUAUUGAAGAUGGUGGAGGGAAUUGAACCUGAAAUCUGGUUUCCAGACAAAUACAAGACCUCUAGCUUUGACAAAUAGGCUAAAGAGAAUGGAAUAACACCUUUGAAGUUGUUUUGGUCCAAAAACAACCUUCGAAGUUCAGUUAAUGAUCCCAACCAUGAUGGGAUUUCUCCACUGAAGGAGUUGUUACCAAAGCUUACAUAUUUCAGCCGUCGCAAAUUGGAUAACUGGACAGGUAAUCCGCCAUAGAAACUAUUGUUUGUGACAUGAAGAAGAGAAAGGAAUGACAAAUUUCCCAAGUGAGGUGGAAGGGUGCCUACGAGUCCCAACCUAGUAAGGUUUAGAGCUGUGACUCUACGGUGCUUGGAUCCACAACUUACACCAAACCAAUUGCAAACAGGGGCAGAGGCUGACCAGUUAGUCGUCAAGACAUUUUCAGGAUCCUGAAUAACAUGAUCUUUUAGUGCUAGAAGAGCUGACUGAUCUGUAAGUAUGGUUGUUAAUUUCAUAGAGAAAGUAGGCAUAGAGAAAUGGAAGAUGAUAAGAAGAGCUAAGUUGAGGAAAGUAUUCCCCAUUUGAAUUUGGGUGUUUAUGAAGCUACCAACAAAGGCAGAACGGAGAUUGCUAGACAGAUAAUUGAAUGAUCACUAACCGUAUGACCACACAACUUUUACAUAAUACGUGUAUGUAUAUAUAAAGGGAGUUUAUGUUGUAAUUUCUUCAUGCAAGAUUGCAAAUUAAUAUGAUUUACGUAGAAAUUACGGAAUUUAUUAUAAGACGUGAUAAUAUAAUUAUGUAAUUAUUGCUUAAAAUUUUUCUUUCUAAAUUUCAUAUUUCUUAAGAAAUUACAGUAAUAAAUUUUACAUAGAAAUAACAUUAACAUUAUUGUCAGUACAGGAGAAUGUGAAUUUAAAUGCAUUGAAACACAUUUAUCUUCUUAUAUAAGUAUUAGCAAAAAAAAUUAUGGAUAGUUCUAGACAUGUUAUAAAAAGAAUUUGAUAUAACAAGAUUUAGAAAAUAAUUUGCAUUAUUUAUUUUAGGAAAUUAUUGAAUAAAGAGAUCAAGAAUUUUAAAUUUAAAAAAUUUUAAAUUUAAAUCAUAACAGGAGAAGGAGUUUAGUUACUUUACAAUUAUCCAAGAUGGAUUAAAUUUGGUUUUAUAUCUAAGAUAUCAAAACCGUAAUUAGGUUAUGAUAAGCAUUAAACUAAAUUAUUGGAAUAAAAAUAUAGGUGAAAUUAUUAAUAAAAGCUGUUUUUUUUCAAAAUUUACUGAAAUGGGCUGAUUUUUUGAUUAUUUACCGGAAUGGUCUAUUUUCCGGGAAAUCGCGUCCACGUCAGAGCGAUGUCAGGGUACGUGUCAGGACAUUGCGUCCACGUCAGCGCGACCUGCUUACGUGGAAGGAAAUCGUGUCCUUGAGGGAGCGAUUUCCUUCCACGUCAGCAGGUCACGCUAACGUGGACGCGAUGUCGGCCGCGUGUGAACAGUACCCCAACGGUCAAAAAUUUGACCGUUGCCCCCCCCAACGGUAAAAAAAAACUAUAAAUACCCCCACCCCUUUUUUUUUUCACAAACAAAUCCUAUCUUCAAUUUCCUUCCAAAAUUCUCUCAAUUUCCUUCCAAAAUUCUCUCAAACCCAUAUUUAAUUUCAAUUUCCUCUCAAUUUCCUUCCAAAAUUCUCUCAAAUCCAUAUUUAAUUUCAAUUACCCCUCAAUUUUAUUUUUUAAAAUAAUUUUUAUAUUUUUAUAUUUUUUAAAAAUAAUUUUAAAUUUUUUUAUAAUUUCAUCAAUGGCCGGAUCAUUGAUUCGUCUUGAUAGGAUUCACAUAUCGGUGGAGCAAAUGAAAAUGGUAAGUAUUAAAUUUAAUUUUUAAAUAUUAUUUAAGAUUUUUUUAUUUAUGUAUUUUUAGAUAAUUAUUAAUUUAUUAUUUGUUAUCAAAGUCUGCAGAUCAGAUAUUGGAAUGCAAUAUCCGGAAUAUGCAUGCUCCUCCAUCACCGUUAGUAGAGAACUACCUGUGGGAAGCGGGUUUUUGGCACGUGGCGACGGUAGUCCGGGGAUGCAAGUUGGACCCGAAACUGAUUAGUGCGUUGAUCGAGAGGUGGAGACCCGAGACGCACACAUUCCAUCUUCCAUGUGGAGAGUGCACUAUCACUCUAGAAGAUGUCAGUCUGCAGUUGGGAUUCCUGGUGGACGGGCACCCAGUCACCGGGUCUGCCCAAUCUAGUAAUUGGGAGGCAGUGUGCUACGAGCUUUUGGGCGCUAUUCCGGAUAAAAUGGAUGGAGGUAAGGUCGAGAUGGGCUGGUUACGUGCCACCUUCCCCGAUCCGAAUGCAAAUUCAACUGAAAUUGAAAGAAUCUGAUAUGCUCGAUCAUACAUUUUUCAAAUAAUUGGAGGUUAUCUGAUGCCCGACACAUCACAGAGCCGUGUACAUCUAAGGUGGCUGCUAAAACUCGUUGAUUUUAGAGGAGCUGGUGAAUUUAGUUGGGGGUCUGCCGUCUUGACAACAUUAUAUCGGGAGAUGUGCGAGGUGACGCGACCGAGGAGAGCAAACAUCGGAGGUUGCCUGUCACUACUGCAAUCAUGGGCACGGUUUCGCUUUCCAUUUCUACAUCCUCGAGUGAACCACCCAUAUACAUUCCCACUCGUAACGAGGUAAAUUUUAUAUUACAUUUUGGAAUUAUUAUGUAUAUUUUGUAAGAAUAAAACUAUGCUAAAUAUUUAUUUAAUUAGGUGGAACCAUCAGGCAAGUUAUCGAGGAUUACCGUCUGAACUUGAAGAUAUACGGCUUCUAUUGGAGCAACGGUCGGAAGCAGAAGUAAGUAUUAUUGCAAAUAGAUAUUUCCAUACAUUCGCUAGUCGAUUGAUAUUUAGUAUUUAGUAUUUAGUAUUAUGUAUAUAACUAAUAUUUCUAUCAUGUUCAUAUAGUUUCAAUGGACACCAUACGAGGAUCCGGCAAUUCGAGUAGUAAUCCAGGAAGAGUUUUUACAAAAUCCGAACGCUUGGCACGCGAAAGUGGUGUUGAUCAACUAUGCAACCGUGGAGCCCCACCAGACAGAUAGAGUGCUACGACAGUUUGGAUGUAGACAACCGAUUCCUGCGGACCUUGAGGUGUUUGACGAUCACCACAAAAUCGACCUUCGGCUAUUAGGUAUGGAUUGGCCUAGAUACUGGUCCGAGUACACACAAAUGUGGGAAAAUCGGCUUGAAUAUCUACCUACUCGGGAAGAAAUCAUCGUUCCGGAGUUAGCGUGCGUUCCAGAAUACAUGCCAUAGUUUAGGAUCCAUGGCAAGCCGUAUUUACUUAAGCCAGAGGAUAGGCAGCGGCAAAUACGUGUCGGCAAGGAAAGGCGUGGGCCUCUAAAUCCAAGACAAGAAUACUACGAAGGCAGCCCCUCAACAAGGCCCAGACAGUCACCGGCUCAUCAUCAGCGGCCAUGCAAUCACCUUCCCCAAUGAGAGCAUCGACGCAGUCACCUGGCGCAACAAUUCAACAGAUGAUACCCACGCAACCGCCUUUCCCUAUGAUGCCAGGUGUGUUUCCUAGCCCUUAUAUGUACCCUAACCCUUACAUGUAUCCUUUUCCGAAUCCUAUGGCAGGUUGGAGCCAAAUGCCCGGUUCAGCUCCAUUUCCUGUUAUGCCGAGCGGACCGCCGAUAUCUAGGCCAGCGGCGCAGGAGGGAUCGCAAGGGGGGCCGUCGGGAAGCUCUCCUUUUUACCAAUCGCCACCAACGUAUGGCUUUCAAACACCGUCGUCGUUCAUGAUGCAAACACCUCCACAUACACUAUUCUUUGAAGGUGGAUCAUCGUCCCAAGUCCGACAACCAGAUGCCAAACCGGAAGAACCACAAUCACCACCGGAGGAAGAACAACCGCCGCCGGAAGCUAGAGGAAGGAGGAAUCUAGCGCGUAACCGUCGACGACCGCCAUGUGCAACUGAAUCCCCCGGGCAUAGACAUUGAUUGCCGUAUUUAAAUUUAUUAUUUGAUGUAAUAAAAUAGAAGUUUAUUUGAUGUAAUACGCAUAGAAAUUUUUUCGAGUUAUUUUGAUAUUAUUUGAUGUAAUAAAAUAGAAGUUUAUUUGAUAUAAUAGGCAUAGAAAUUUUUUCGAGUUAUUUUGAUAUUAUUUGAUAUAAUAAAAUAGAAGUUCUAUUUGAUGUAAUAAAAACCAUAAUUUAAUUAAAAACCCUAACCAUAACCUAACUUAAUUAAAAACCCUAACCCUAACCUAACUUAAUUAAAACCCUAACCCUAACCUAACUUAAUUAAAAACCCUAACCCUAACCAAACUUAAUUAAAAACCCUAACCCUAACCUAACUUAAUUAAAAACCCUAGCCCUAACCUAAUUUUACAUAAUUUGAUAAUUUUACUAACCAUUAACACAAUUUUUGGACUUAAUAAUUUUACAUAAUUUGAUAAUUUUACUAACCAUUAACACAAUUUUUGGACUUAAUAAUUUUACAUAAUUUGAUAAUUUUACUAACCAUUAACAAAAAAAUUUUUGGCUUAAUAAUUUUACAUAAAUUUACAUAAUGUUAGAUUUGGUAAAAUAUUUUGACUGGUACUAACAAUUAAGAAAUUAAACUAAUUUGAUAAUUUUACUAACAAUUAAUACAAUUAUCAAUUAAUAAUUGAAUAAAAUAUAUUUUUUUCUAAAAUUACAUUCAACUAUUGCGAUUAGGGCAUGAUCGACUUGUAUGGCCUGGGUUCCUACACCAUCUGCACAACUUCUGUUGACUGGCUGUUUCUCGGAUAUCCAUAUUGUUCCGUAUUCUAGUGGAGCACGGUCGACCCUUUAGUUUGCGACGCAAUUCUCUAUCCGGUAACAGCUUAAAAGGAGCAAGAGAUACGGGCGGCCACUUACGUUCAUCUGGGACCGGUGGGAAAACGUGUCUCCAUACGUUGUACAUGUUUUCUAAUUUGUACACUUCGUCCACAUAACUCAUCGGAUCCAGACGGAGUUUCUGACAAGCUGCAAUAACAUGAGCGCAUGGAUAGCGAAGUGCAUCAAACUUCCCACAGUCACAAGUCCUGUUUUGCAAGUGUACACUAUAUUGUCCGCCAACAACACCUUGGUGCGGUCUGUCAAACUCUGUCACACGAAACCAUAAAUUGUCUCGAUCGUGACACACUGUGUGCAUGAUGUUUGCCCUCGCCUUCGCCUUGUUAAUUUCUUGAACUACCUUACUGCACCAUACAUGGCCACCCUGCAUCUGGCCUGCAUAAGUUGCUGCUCGCUUUGGAAAUAGCGCCGCCAAACGGAAAUAUGUCUCUCGCACAACUGAUGUUAUCAGUAGAUGGCACGUUCCUUUAAUAACAGAAUUUAUGCAUUCUGCCAGGUUUGACGUCAUAUGGCCAUAUCGCAGGCCUCCGUCGUAUGCUUGUACCCACUGUUCGAAACGUAUGUUACAAAGGUAGUCUGCCCCUUCUCCGUUUUGGGAUCGUAAAAUUACCAACAUCUCGUGAAAACGAUCUUUAUUUAUUUCAUACCCCGCCAAUAUAAGAUUAUAGCGAAUAUUUUAUACCAUUUCUACCAAUAAAACUAAUUCAAAUUGACAAACGAAAUAAUAUAGUUAUAGACUAAAUACCCAUAUUGGUCACUUGUCGUCGUUCGCUCUUAGAUGGAUAUUGCCUGUAGUAGUUCGAAGCAACGUAUCUUAGGCAAUAUCUAUGGUGUGUGCGCUGCCACAAGCUUCCCUAUCGAUCAAAUGCAGCUAGUAUACCGGCGCCCCGAUCUGAAAUAACAUAGAUAUCAGGUUGGGGGCACACAUGCCUCCUUAACCUAGAGAGAAAGAAAUCCCAGUCAUCAGACAACUCCCCCGGUGUUAUUGCAAAUGCAAUUGGAAGAAUUUUCCCACCGCCGUCCUGUGCCAAUUUGUACAUGAAGGUACCGUCAAUUUGUACCAAUGGCUUGCAGUAUGGAAAUGCGUCUCGGCAUUGCUUAAAGGUCCAAAAUAGGCGUUUGAACACUUGACAUCCACGUAGCAAUCGGCCGUUGUAGUACGCAUGUUCCGUUUCAAGGUCUGUGAUGGCACUUGGGACGUAUCUCUCUAGCACCUGACACCACUGUCAUAUUUCAUUAUAUGAGGCGUCCCACCCACUAUGCAUCUUCUCCAACGCCUUUUGCUUAGUUAUCCAAGCCUUGCGGUAAGAGGGCGUGUACCCCAUUUGGCUAUGGAUAUUGGCAAUUAUCACCGACACUGAAGUCCUAGGAUCUGCUUUUAUCAUGGGCAGUAUCAAGCUAUCUAACAUAGCUGAAUCCAUUUUGGGAUGAUCUUGUGAAACACCUACAGAGGGAGUACAUUAAAUAAUGCAACAUUGCAAAAUAAAAUAAUUAUUUAGAUACAUUAAAUCAUGUACCUGCAGCACAUGUAUGUGGACCUUUGUACUUUUUUAUCUCCCACAACCUUGUCCUUUUCCUUAACGAGACGACGAUUUUCCAUGAACAUGUGCCGUCUUACACCGCACACUUCGCCUCAAACUUAUCAGAUUUUGAUUUAAAGACGUGGUCAUUAACGCCGUUUUUGAUGCUAUGCUGUUUCAAAGCACCAAUAAAACUAUCCUUGUUGGUAAACUGAUUACCAACGUCAAGUUCACCGAAAUUUACCCCCGAACUUGUACGAUCGCACAACCGGUGUGGUAGAUCUGGAAACUCUAACGCAUCAUCUGCUGACAGAUCGACAUUAUGCAUGUGGGCUGGAGGUGAGUAUGCUUUGAAUCGUGGAUUUUCUUCAUCAUCUGAACUCCUUUCAGCAUCUUCACCUUCUAUUGGAAUAGGCUCCGGUUCAGAAAAUAAUCUCACUUCUGCACCAUCCGGCCCGGGCUCUCGAGGUGGAUCCACAUCGGAGUCAUCUUUUAACCCACAAUCAUCUGCAGCGUACGACGUCCCUUCACCGGUUGACGUCGUAGGUAGUACGCCAUCCCUUCUUCUGGGUAUUUGAUAACGUUUCCAAUUAGAUGUAGAUUGCCAUCCAUUAGAACUUGAUGCAGUUCCCCAGUACGUAUUUCCAGCAUCAAACGUCGAGCCACCGACGUAUAUGUCCCAUCCACCGACAGAGUGUCUUGCGGGGGAUGCAUUCGACAGCGCUACCGAACAUGGGCUGUUCUAUAUUUUGUAACCCGCUAACCGAGUGUCGGCCAGGGGUCGUGUAUACAUCUCAAACACCAGACGGAAGUACAUCAGUUGGCAACGUAAAUUGUACAUAUAACUCAAUAUAAGUUGCUCCACUAGCAAGAUGAGUCUCCACCAUUGCCUCCAAGCUACGAGCACAUUUUCUGUCGAACGAGUCAUAUGUCACCGGAUCAACACAAGAACAAAAUCAAUACGUGAUUGACAAAACUUUCAUUGGCAUCGUUCCGAAGAUUUUACGCCUAAUUCUUUUACGAAGUUCUGUCAAAUCUAUGUUCUGGUUAAAUGACAGUCACACCGUAUUCUCCGACUAAAGAACAACACCAUUCUCGGUGUGGCAAACCUCACCAUCCUAGUAAAUAACAGCACUAAUACGUUCACUCAUUUUGAAACUCUAACUUUCUUAGCCUCUCUAAAUUGUUUCUGCUAUGACUUAUGCAUUCUAAGAACAUUUUCUGCCUAGUUUAUAGCCUCAGCUCAAACUUGCUACUGCAGCAAAAUCGCGUCCACGAGGGCGCGAUUUCACAAUUUCUUCUCAAAUAACAUCCUGGUACAAGCGAUUUUAUACUAUUUGCUCAGAAACGUCAAAAAAAUUUAUUUCUUACAUGACCUACUGUAGCAAAAUCGCGUCCACGAAGGCGCGAUUUCACAAUUUCUUCUCAAAUAGCAUCCUGGUACAAGCGAUUUUAUACUAUUUGCUCAGAAACGUAAAAAAAAUUAUUUCUUACAUGACCUACUAUAGCAAAAUCGCGUCCACGAGGGCGCGAUUUCACAAUUUCUUCUCAAAUAGCAUCCUGGUAGAAGCGAUUUUAUACUAUUUGACCAGAAACGUCAACUCGAAAUAAUUUAUUCCUGGACCUAAAAAUCCUAAAAAGCCUGAACCUUAAACCCUAAAAGCCAAAAAAACCAAACGUGAAAAAAAAGUCAAAAUCACGUCCCCCGGAAUGCGCUACGUGGCAGGACAUCGCGUCCACGUCAGCGCGACCUACUGACGUGGAAGGAAAUCACUCCCUCAAGGACGCGAUUUCCUUCCAUGUCAGCAGGUCGCGCUGACGUGGACGCGAUGUCCUGACACGUACCCUGACAUCGCUCUGACGUGGACGCGAUUUCCCGAAAAAUGGAUCAUUCCGGUAAAUAAUCAAAAAAUCGGUCUAUUUCGGUAAAUUUUGAAAAAAAAACGGCUUUUUUUGGUAAAUUACCCAAAAAUAUAAGCAAUUUUACAAUAUUCGUGGUGGGAACAUAUCCCAUCACCAACUUUUCAUAACUUCUUUUUCCCAUUUUAUAAAAUGUCUAUAGAUUAAGUACUGGCUCUUCAAUUUUCUAAGUAUUCAUUGUCUUACCCCUUUCUUGGGUUUGGUUUGGGAAGGUUGCUUGACUUCGUUGUGCAAUUUAAAGUCUUUCCAAUUUGUCGUUUUAGAAGUGAUCGGAAAAUUUGCACUUCUUCAUGUGCUGGAAGAAAAGUGAUUGGGUUCAAAGAAUAAAAACAGGGAUAGAUUAUUUACAUAGUUUAGUUUUUCUAUUCCUACAGAGCCUACGUUAUGAGGAAUAGUUUAGUUUAUGUUGUAAUUUCUUCCUGCAAGAUUACAAAUUUUUUUAAUGUGAUUUACGUAGAAACUACGAAAUUUAUUAUAGGAUGUGAUAAUAUAAUUCUAUAAUUAUUGCUUAAAAUUUUUCUUUCUAAAUUUCAUAUUUCUUAAGAAAUUACAGUAAUAAAUUUUACAUAGAAAUAAUAUGUAGUAUUGAAAUUAAAUUGCAGUUGUACAAAGGUUACAACUUUUUUAUUAAAUUAUUAAAAUUAUUAGAGAACAUGAUAAAAUUAAAUGAGAACCUUUUUAUCAAAGUGACAAGUGAGCAGUCACUUUGAAGAAUAUAAAUAACCCUACCGCUUGCUUAAUUUGUGUUUCUAUUGACUAAAAAAAUUUUGAACAAAAAGGAUAUUGACUAAAAAUUAAAAUAACCAUGAAAUCUUUUACAACAUUCAAUGAGGUUGAAAGAUUUUAUUUUUAAUUUUUUUUAAAUAAUAACUUAUUUGGCUUCUAAUUUUAUAAAAAAAUUAUUUUUUAUUCCUUAAAACUUAUAUUAUUUAUCAACAUUGGCUUACUCCUUCGUUGGGUUUGGUUUGGGACGGCUGCUUGACUUCGUUGUGCAAUCUAAAGUCUUUCCACUUUGUCGUUUUAAAAGUCUGCAUAUCGGAGAAUAUCACAAUUGAGAAAGAAUUAUAUAUUGCUGUGAAACUGAACGUAGUUGCUAAUAUAUACGUUAAGUGAUUAAAAACUUGGCACUUCUUCAAGUGCGGGAAGAAGUGAUUGCGAAGUUGACACUUUUUCAAGUUAUUAAAAAAAAAAAUAGGAGACACAUAUUGUUUACGUAGUUUGGUUUCUUACGUUUGCAGAUCUUAGUUUAGUGAGAAAUAUCUACUAUCUCCAACAUUUAUAAUAAGUGAUCUUAAAUCUAUCACAACCCACUACAAUUUCCUCACUUUUGUACUUUUGAAAAUCGGUACUCUCACCACUAAAUUCACUCCUGUGAACUUAAUUUAUAAAAUCACAACACACAAGUUUUACAAUCAAAUGCACUCUUACAAACAAUAUUCUUCGCUUAAACAGACUAAGUGCUCUCAAUUCUCUAUACAAUCACCUAUACAAGUCUCUCAAUUAUAAAUAGAUUUCGAGAUUUACUAACAUAAUGAAAAUCUAUAUCAAUCUCUAUUAAACAACAACUAAACUAGUUGAAUAAAUUAUAAUAAUAAAUAAGGUAAACAAGGAUUGUUGUCAGCUAAGUCUUCUACGUUCCAAUUCGAUUCAACUUCCUCGAUCCAAGCGAUUAGAUAGACAUGGUCCGAUCCAAUCCGAUCCCUUAAACAUGUUUCCUGAAGUGAUAUGAUCUGUAACACCCCAAACCCAGCCUAACGUUAUAUAUGGUCUAACAUAUAAUAAAAUUUAUUAUUUAUAAAAUAAACUAAAAAUAAAAAGAGAGAAAAGUUUGAAUAUGGUUUAAAUAUUGUUUGUGAGGUUUUUUUAAAAAAUAUUUUAUUUAUAAAAAUAUUAUUUUAAGAAAUAAAUGUUAUGUUAGAAAGAAGAGAAAAUGGGUAUUCAUGUGUAUUUAUAAUUGUGUUAUGUAUUGUUAUAAAAACUUAUGUGUUUUUAUAAAAAAAAAACUUUUACAUAUUUUGAAUUUUUAAGAAGUAAAACUACAUUGACAAAAUGUAUAAAAUUGAGAGCUAAAUUUGUUGAUUUUUUAGAGUUAAAGCUAAAUUGAUAGAAUCUGUCAACAUUGAAGGGUUAAAUUUGUUAUUAUAUUAAUAAAAAAUGCCACCGUUAAUGAUUUAACAUAGGAACAACAAAAAUAUUAAAUUUUGAUAAUGUUAAUGAAUGAAAUAAAAAAUUUUAAACUUAAAUGACCAAAAUAGAAACACACUAAUAAUUAGAUAAACUAUUUUUUUUACUUUGCCCUAGAUUUAAUAAUGUUACCCGAUUUUCCAUGAUUCCUCCAUUUUCUUACCCCUUUCUUGGGGUUGGGACCCGGCUUCACUUUAUUUGUGCAAUCUAAAGGCCUUUCAACUAUGUCAACAAUUGCUUAUGAACUUAUAAUGUGAAACCUUAAGCAAUUGGACAACGAAGCUAUCACUUUUCUUCUUCAAGGAUAAUUAAGAUGGGUCUGGCAUGGUCACUAAAUUUCCAUCACUUUUUGGCCAUUUUCUUUUCAAUGUUUUGCACAUUUUAAAAUCUCUAUACAUUCAAUAAUGCUCCCCAAUUGAAGGUUCUUCUUUUUCAAACCUCGUCUUUUCCUCGACUUUGUUGUGCAAUUUAAAGUCUUUCAGCUUUGUCGUUUGGGUAACUUAUAAAAAUAGUCACUUAAUUUUAGUUAAAUUUAUUUUCUCACUGAAUUAUAAAAAAAUUACAUUUUAGUCACUAACAGUAUCGAGUUAUAACGUUUUGGUCACUCAUCCAUUAACCGCCAUUUUAUCCUUAAGGAAAAGUGCCGUUAACUCAAGGGUUAAUAUUUAAUUUGACCUUUGAACUAUAGUUAAAACAUUCAACUUGGUCAUAAUUUAUUAAAAAAUAUUAAAAAUAAAAAAUUUAAAAUUUAUUUAUUGUUUGAUACUAUAAAAAAUAUAUAUUUUGAAAUUGUAAUUAUGUAAUGUUUUAAAAAACCAUAGAAUCCUUUAAAUUUAAAUUAUAUUAGAAAUCCUAUCACAGUUGUGCACAUGUGGCAAUCAUGAAUUUAGAACAUAGAUUUGUGUUUAAAAAUGAAAUCCAAUAAAUAAUGAAAUCGUAUAGUUUGAAACUAAUUAAUCAUAAUAACACAUGAAAUAUGUAUGAUAUUAAAGUUAAAAAAUUAGAUUAAAUUGUGAGUAAAACUAAACUUAAACAUAUAAAUACAUUAAAUUAACAAUACUAAACCAACUCAACUAAUAACAUUAUUAAUAUAUACAAUGGAUGAAGUGUGCAUAAUAAAAUUAAAUUGUAUAUGAAAAAAUCAAAAUAAAACUUUGGUUGAGUGGUUAAUUUAGGGUUUUGCUAAUGUGAUUGACGUAGAUAUUAUAAUAUGUAUAUUUUUUUUAUUUUUUUAAGAAAGUAAAAGAUUAAAGUACCCCCGAAUAAUAUAAUUUAUUUAAUUACAAAAGAACAUUUCCAUAAUUUCUCUAACCGAGUUGAUGCUCGUCUGACUCGUAAUAUCAACUCAAUCAAAGACUUAAAAUAAUGGUACAGAUAAAAAUGUAGAUUGAGUCAUGGUUAUCUGAACCUAUUGAACUGGCAAUGAUACCAGUCUGGAGAGAGGCAUUAGAUCAGUUCACUCGCAAACCAGUACAGACCAAUAUUAGAACUAGACUAAAAAACUGAUUGAAUCGUUUUUUUAAUAUUUUAAUAAUUUGUAAUCCAACUAUACAAACCAAUAUUUCAACCACCAUUUUAGUUCUAAAAACUUUGCUUAAAGUAUAUUUAAUUUUUAAUUAUUUACUUUAUAAUUCUACACAAAUACAUAAUUACCGCAGCUUCAGAACAGACGAGGACUAAGAAAAAGAAUCAGCUAAUUUUACUGAUUGCAAUUCUAUGAGUAACGCAGCAAACUUAGCUUUCUUUAAUUUCGUCUCACACUAAUAAUUUGUAUCUAUGAUUUAACUUGGACAAGAUCUUUAUCAAGUUGUUUUUUAUGCAAUUGACUAAUAAAAUUCCAUAUUGAGCCAUCGAAUUUACGAGAAAUGGAUACAACAAUGACUUCAAAAUAAAUUGGACUUUUUAUUUUGCAAUUCACUUUUAUAGUUUCAAUAAUGGCCAACCAAUUUUCCAUGACUUUUAUAGCUUGACUUAAGUUGUGCAAUCUAAAGUCUUUUUCUAAACCGUGAGAACAGAAGAAAACAUAUGAGCAGCCAUUGUUGAAGUCCCAUGUUCGGCCAACCUUCUCAUUUUACACGGUGAGUAAUUUUAAUCUUGUUUUUCAUGAAUUUUAUAUUUUUGAGAUUAUUGUAAUUUUAAUCUAGUUUAGCUAACUCGAGUGUUAAUUUUUGAAACUGUUAAAAUUUCUAAAUGUUACUAUUGAUGAAUGAUUGAUGAAAUUAGUAUUAAUUGAUUAGAUUUUUCUGCUUAGAUAUGAAAAAGGCUUAAUUAUCAAUUAUCAAUUCCAAAUAAAAAAUAUUAUUGAUAUUUUCUAUUAUGAAAACCCAUUCUCAAUGUGUUGAAUCGUUGAACAAGUAAUUUUUACUUCUAUUGUGGCAAAUUCAAUGGAGGGAGUUAUCUUCUUAUUUCUACCAUAAAAAGUUUCUCAAUAAAUUUCAUUGGGUGAAAAUUUUGAGUUAGAUUAGAGUGCUUCAAAAUCUCAUGGCAAUUAACAAAUUACGUGAAUGUGUGUGAAAAUAGGAAGGAUAUUAGUAGUUCACCUCUAAUUGCUUAGGCAUGAUACUCGUUGUGAAAAUAGGAAGUUUCUCAACAAUUCCCAUGAUACUCGUUGGAUAACUCGAUCAUUUUUUUUACAGGAUGUAAACUUUUCUAAAUGAUAAGGAAAGGAAAAGAAAACUUAGGCAAUUCAAUUUAAGUAGUUCACAUUUAAUUGCCUACCUCCACUUAGUAUCCUUUAAUCAAAUAAUUUCUCAAAUUACUAUAAGAAUUUGUACCUUUCGAGGAGAAGGUAUAACAUUUACAACACUAUCUUUUUCUUAAAGCUUAGAUAUAACCUUUCCCUCUAGCUUUUAUAGUUGUUGUAUAGUCGUCGUUGGCAAGUCAUGUCUCGAGACAAUUUAUCAAUUGUCUUUAGACACACUGCACUAUAUCUCAAGACAAGCAGCUCCUAUCAAUUGGUACAAGCCAGUAUGAACUAGUAUAAGUUAGUAUUGACUGAAACGAGCUUAAACAUACUGGAAUUGUCAAAACACAUCAAAAUCUUAACCAUAAUGAAACCUAUACUAUUUAGUAUUGGUUGAAGACCAAAAAGAUACGCAUCGAGUGUGUUAAAUGUUGAUGUCCUUUUUAUGUACUGUUUAUAUUUUUGUUCUUUUAAUAAUAUUUGUUUGGCUUAUAAAAAUUAUUUUUAUUAAAAUAAAAUAAAUGAAAAGCUUAUGCAAAGACUGAAAAAAGAUAUCAAAAUUUGCUAUGUUUUGAUAUUGGGCAUUUAAUAAUUUGUACCUAUAUUUAAAAAAAAUUUGUACCAAUACAAUUUCAUAAAAUUAGUACAAAUGGUCAUCAAAAUUCAGCGUAACUUCCUAAAUAUAUUGCUAAUUGAUAUAAUUGAGAACGGUUAUGCGGUUGAUAAUAAUCUUUUUGAACUUCGUUUAGUACAUGAUUUAUGCAAGUAAUAUUGGCAACUUAAGUUUCGGCAUGUCCUGCGAGAACAUAAGAGACUGACAGAUUGCAUGACCAAAGUUGUUCCUAGUAAUCUUAAUAGGUUAACAACUUUUGAAGACCCAGCUAAUCAUGCUCGAUCUUUGUUAGAAGAAGAUGCUCAUCGAGCAAUGAUUAAUAUAGACUCUCAUCAACCUAAUUGUAGCUAAUUCCUUGAACUUGUUUCUUUUUUAAAAAAAUUCACAAAAUGCAGAAAUAACUAUUAAUAAACUUUAUAGGAAAACAGAGCAUCUGUAUAAAUAUUUAUCAAAGACAUUGCUAGAAAGCAAAGCUUAUGUUUAUUUUAGUCAAUUUAACAAUGGCCACUUCAUCGAACGCGUUGCAUAUCCCUUGAUAACUUUACUUUGAUCUUCUUUAACUUUGUAACAACCUCUUUCAUAUGAAGCCUCUCAUUUGGUAACUCUGCAGAACAUUCUAAGCCAACUUGCAAAAUGGAUAAGGCACAAUUCUUGACUUUUAAAUGUUCCCUUCCAAUGGUGCUCAACAACUUGGGAUCUACAACUUGAUUUCGCGAAGAUGAUAUCGACUCUAUCACCCAACUAUUCAAGCUUCUUUCUNNNNNNNNNNNNNNNNNNNNNNNNNNNNNNNNNNNNNNNNNNNNNNNNNNNNNNNNNNNNNNNNNNNNNNNNNNNNNNNNNNNNNNNNNNNNNNNNNNNNACAUUUUAUCUGUGGGCUUUUUUCUUGUGAUGAUUUCCAUCAAAAGAAUACCAAAGCUAUACACAUCACCUUUUGUCGAAACAAUUCCUUCGAUUCCAUAUUCUGUGUAUGAAUAUAAAAACAACAUUAUGAAUAUUCAAAGAUAUCUUGAUAAUGAAAAAUCCGUAUAAAAUGUACGAAACAUUAUAUGCUUGCAUGUUAUAAUUGAACUGGGAUUUAAUCUAGUUGCUUCCUUAAAAAGUCACAUUUAAUAUGUUUGAAACUCAAAUCUUAACAUAUAUGAUCCCUUUUGUUAUGCACAUGCUACGCUUACAUUGAAAAUGGAAAAAUAAACAUGGAGUUUGAUUAGAAGUAUCACCUGGUGCCAUAUAUCCGAAUGUUGCCAUUGUCAUGGUUUGUAUCAUUGAAACCUCUUCACGUAAGAGUUUCGCGAUGCCAAAAUCACUCAAAUGAGCAACCAUAUCUUCAUCUAAUAGAACAUUGUUGGGUUUUAAAUCACAGUGAACCACGGGUGUUGCAUUACCAUGGUGGAGAUAUUCCAAUGCAGAUGCAACAUCUAUCAUUAUGUUCAACCUUUGUAGGAUAUCCAAAUAUUGGUUGUUGGAAUACAACCAUUUAUCAAGACUCCCAUUAGGCAUGAACUCAAGCACCAACGCUUUGAAAUUAAGAUCAUUAGAGCAACUGCUUAUUACUUUGACUAAAUUUCUGUGACGAGUGUUGCAGAGAACAUCACAUUCAACAUCAAAGCUCUUAAAAGCUCCUUCUAACUCUAACUUGAAGACCUUUACCGCAAUUACCGUCCCAUCCUGGAGAGUCCCUUGGAAUAGUGAACCAUAACUUCCAUUACCAAGCAACCUACUACCAUUGAAUCCAUCAGUAGCUUGACGAAGCUCGUGGUAUGAAAACCGUCUCCACGUUCCUAAAGGUAUCAUGUCUUCUUGAGUUGGCAAUUUGUCUUUCCUCCUAUUUUGCAAGAUAAUGAUUAUCAGAGCCACAACCAAAAUUGUGGAGGCAAUUGGCAGAGCUACAUAUAUUAUGAGCUUCAGCUUAGUUUUUGCCUUGGAAUUUCUAAGAGGUCUUGUUUUGCAGUUUGGAACAUGAAGUCGAGUUGCACCACACAAGGCUUCAUUACCCUUAAAUGAUUCGAUUGUGUAGUUUCCAAAUGAUCCUCCUUCAGGAAUUUUUCCUUCAAGUCUAUUAAAAGAGACAUUGAAAUAUUUGAGAUAACGGAGUUUCUUUAAGGAUUUGGGAAUCUCUCCAGAUAGAUUAUUUCUUGACAAGUCCAAGAAUUCCAAACUCAACAAUUCAUCAAAAGACUCAGGAAUAGAACCCAUGAUUCUAUUAUUGGACAAGGAAAAAUGAGUGAGGUCCUUGAGAUCUGCAACUCCAGUUGGGAUAUCACCUGAGAACUGAUUGUUCGACAAAUCCAAACUAGUCAAAACUUUCCAUUUUCCAAUGUCAGUUGGCAGUGGACCACUUAGAGAAUUUGAAGACAAGUAUAGGAUGAGGAGAUAGUUAAGCCUUGUCAACGUGGAAGGUAUUGAGGAGGAAAACUUAUUGGAGUCUAGAAAUAGUUGCCUUAAUGAAGUGAGAUCACCUAAGCAAGCAGGUAUUGGUCCAGACAAUUUGUUAUUGGUCAAGAACAAGAAAGCCAAUUUGUUUAGAUGACAUAACUGAGAUGGGAUGGAUCCUUCUAACUUAUUGUCUUUAAGAGAAAGACUUUGCAACUCUUCCAAUCCACCAAUUGUAGUAGGAAUCUGUCCUAUCAAUUUAUUGCCUCCGAGAUCAAUGCUUAUCAAGUGACUUAAGUUUCCAAUUUCAUUGGGGAUGCUACCCCUGAUGUUGCAUGAAUAAGCAGAGAACUCUUCAAGAGAACUUGAGACAUUUCCUACCACUCUUGGAAGUUCACCACUAAUAAAUGGGUUGCUAUCGAAAAGAAAGUUCGAGCCGACAAGGUGAUUGCUAGCAAGAUAUAAUUGCUCCAUGUUUGGAAGUAAAAGGCCCAUGUUUGAUGGAAGAUGGCCAGAGAGCUGAUUUAUAUCCAAAGCAAUCAUCCUUAAAGUUGAAAUAUUAAAUACAUGUGGAGGGAUAGAACCAGUAAGAUUGUUAAAGUCUAAAUCCAACCAAUUUAGAUUCUUUAGGUUGCCAAUCUCACGUGGUAUUAUACCUGCCACAAAUUUUAUCAAACAAAAAUAUUAGACAAAUAUGAGGAAGAAAAUAGUUUAUAUAUAUGAAACAUUUGCUUAUAUUUUUUAUAAUGUGUACAACCAUAGACAAUUAGUGUAUCAAAUAUGAAUCAACAAUAUUUACAAAAAAAAUUAAUUCACAAUAAAAUUGUUUUUAUAGAGCGCUUGCAAAUAUUAAAGUACUUCAAGUAAUUUUAAAUUGAAUUUUUUAGGUUUAAAGUUGGAAUAAGUUCAAAAUGAGAAGGGAUUGUAUGAAAUUACAAUUCUAUGUCAUCUUUAUCCCUUAUAGGAGAAUAACAACUCAGAUUUUUCCUCCUAAUUUUUAGCUUUUUCUUCUUGAAAAAAUUUAAAAUCCAACUAAAAAAGUUAAAAAUUAAGAGGAAAAAUCUGAUUUAUCAUUCUCUUAUUGGAAAGGGAUAGAGAUUACGUAGAAUCACAGUUUCAUACAAUCACUUCUCAUUCAAGUUAUAGAAAAUAAUGAUGAAAUAAAUGAUAAAGAACAAACAUUUAUAAGUCAAAUAAAAUAAUUAAGAACAUAAUGGUGAAUUAAAUUUGUUUUCCUUUUAUCUGAUUUGAUAAAUUUAAAAUUUUUAAGAACAUAAAAAUAAAUCAAAUAUGAUUUUUGGUCCCUUGGAGUUUUGUUUGGCCUCAACAGGGGUAAAUGUAAAUAAUGGACUUAAAAAAAAAAGAAAUAUACUAAUUGCAAUGACUAUGAAAAAUUUUAUAAUUAUUGUAGAAUAAUCAAAACACAGAAAGCGGUUGAGCAAAAUAAAGUUCAAAUUAAUAAAAACUAUCAGUAAAAGUUGCAAAUUAAUAAAAAUAAUUUGGAAAUAAUUUAACUCUUUCUUAUACAUUCACCUGUAAAAUUGCUAUGGGAACAAUCAAACGACAUAAGAAGAGUUAAAUUCACAAUUUGUUUAGGAAUUUCACCUGCAAUUAUAAAAUUCACAUAUCAAAUUAAAAAUUCAUCUCCUAGCAAGGAUUAUAAUAAUAAAAUUAAGGUAUAAUGGCUUAUUUAGCUCUUCAAUUUUAUUAAAAAGAAUCAUUUUAGUCUUUCAUUUAAUUUUUCAUCUCUUUUAGCCCUUAAACUUGCAAUGUUUGUCAAAUCAUCCCAAAAUGAAUUGAAAAUUCCAUGUGUAUGCCACAUCAACAAUUAAUUUUUAAAAUUUUAAAAAAAUUCUAUUUUAUUACUAACGUGUCAGCAAAGUAAACAAACAUUAACUUUUCCAUACAUUUUUUGGGCUGAUAUAACAAACAAUACAAGUUCAAGAGCUAAAAGAAACGGAAAAUUAAAUAAAAAAUUAAAAUGAUUUUUUUUAUAAAGUUGAAGGGCUAAAUAAAUAAUUAUUUCUAAAGUAAACAAAGCACGUUAGCAAGGUAUUUCACAUCAUAUUAGGUGUCAUACACACUUCCAAGUCAAGUUGGAACUAAAAGAAUAUUUCUCUCAUCAUUUUGUCGUAGUUUAUUCUUCAAUCUUCUUUUGAAAAAUUUCAACUAUGUAUUCGUUUAAUAAAUAAAUUUAUAUUUUCAAUCUCAAUAUCUAAAUUAUUAUAUUCAUUACCUUAAUUUCUUUUCAAAAAAACAAAAAAAAAAAUCGUUCCUUGCAUCUCAAUGUACUUAAAAAAAAAAGUAAACACUUCAAAAGGUUUUAAAAAUGGUUAGCAUAUAUUACCUUCAAAGUGGUUCCGACCAAUAGCGAUGUCUUGAAGCAGGCUCAAAUUCCCAAUUUCUAUUGGUAGGCUCCCCUCCAUUUGGUUAUACGAUAAAGCUAACACUUGUAACUCUUUGCACUUGAAUAGACUGGCAGGAAUUCUACCAGAAAGCAGGUUAAGACUCCAGUACAAUCCUUUCAAAUUUGGAAGAUGAUCAAACAUAUCUUUUGGGAUAUGACCAGUGAGAUUAUUGGAGGUGAAAUCGAUGACUUCUAGCAAAAGCAAAUCACGUGGAACAGAGGGUAUAGAACCAGAGAAUAUAUUAAUAUUAUUGUCAGUAUAGGAGGAUGUGAAUUUAAAUGCAUUGAAACAUAUUUAUCUUCUUAUAUAAUUAUUAGCAAAAAAAAAUUAUGGAUAGUUCUAGACAUUUUAUAAAAAGAAUUUGAUAUAGCAAGAUUUAGAAAAUAAUUUGCAUUAUUUAUUUUAGGAAAUUAUUGAAUAAAGAGAUCAAGAAUUUUCAAUUUAAAAACUUUUAAAUUUAAAUCAUAACAGGAGGAGUUUAGUUACUUUACAAUUAUCCAAGAUGGAUUAAAUUUUGAACAAAAAGGAUAUUGACCAAAAAUUAAAAUAACCAUGAAAUCUUUUACAACAUUCAAUGAGGUUGAAAGAUUUUAUUUUUAAUUUUUUGAUUUUUGUUGAAUUAAUAACUUAUUUGGCUUCUAAUUUUUUUUAAAAAGACUUUUUUUUAGUCUUUAAACUUAUAUUGUUUAUCAAAUUAUUUCAAAAUGAAUGAAAAAAUUAAUGUUUAUUAACAUUGUCGAUGUAAAUAAUAUUAAAUUUAUUUAAAAAGUAUAAAAAUAUUUUUUUAAAAAUUAAUUAAUUGCUAACAUAACAUAUACGUGGUAAUCUAUAUGUAUGCCACAUCAGCAAAGUUAACAAAUGUUAUUUUUUUCAUCCAUUAUAAGUUAUUUGACAAAUAAUGUAGUUUCAAGAGUUAAAACUGACGAAAAAUUAAAUAAAUGGCUAAAAUUACUUCUUCUUCUUUUUUAUAAAGUUGGAGGGUGGAAAAAUUGUUAUACAUUUUUUUUUCUUGUCUUAUCAGUACCCUCGACAACACACCACCAUAAAGUAAGAAUAUAAAGCAUGGUUCAUUUAACUAGAUUUUUAGCAAGAAAAUUGAUAUUGUUGUCUGUAUAUAUAAAAAGACACAGGUUUAAACUUAUUGAAAUAUAUUUAUCCUUUUAUAUAAGGAUUAGCAAAAAAUUAUAGAUAUAUAAUUCUAAGCAUUUUAUAAAAAAAAAAAGUUAUAUAAUAUGACAUAGAAAAUAAUUCACUUUUUAUUUUAGGACAUUAUUGAAUAAAGAAAUCAAGAAUUUUUAAUUUAAAAAUCUUAAAUUUAAAUCAUAACAGCAGAAGGAGUUUAGUUUACAAUUAACCAAGAUGGAUCAAAUUUGGCUUUAUAUCUAAGAUAUGAACACUGUAAAUAGAUUAAUGAUAAGCAUUAAACUAAAUUAUUGGAAUAAAAAGAUAAGCAAUUUUACAAUAUUGGUGCUGGGAACAUAUCUCUAUAGAUUCAGUAAUGGCGCGCUCUCCAAUUUUCUAAGUAUUCAGUGGCUUACCCCUUCGUUGGGUUUGGUUUGGGACGGCUGCUUAACUUAGUUGUGCAAUCUAAAGUCUUUCCACUUUGUCGUUUUAAAAGUAUGCAUAUCUGAGUGCGGGAAGAAGUGAUUGCGAAGUUGACACUUUUUCAACUUAUUACAAAAUAAAAAAUAAAAAAAGGAGACACAAAUUGUUUACGUAGUUCGGUUUUUUUACGCUUGCGGAUCUUAGUUUAGUGAGAAAUAUCUACUAUCACCAACAUUUAUAAUAAGUGAUCUUAAAUCUAUCACAACCCACUGGCAAUUUCCUCACUUUUGUACCUUUGAAGACUAGUACUCUCACCACUAAAUUCACCUCUGUGAACUUAAUUUAUAAAAUCACAAUACACAAGUUUUACAAUCAAAUGCACUCUUACAAACAAUAUUCUUCGCUUAAAUAGACUAAGUGCUCUCAAUUCUCUACACAAUCACCUAUACAAGUCUCUCAAUUAUAUAUAGAUUUCGAGAUUUACUAACAUAAUGAAAAUCUAUAUCAAUCUCUAUUAAACAACAACUAAACUAGUUGAAUAAAUUAUAAUAAUGAAUAAGGUAAACAAUGAUUGUUGGCAGCUAAGUCUUCAACGUUCCAAUUCGAUUCAACUUCCUCGAUCCAAGCGAUUAGAUAGACAUGGUCUGAUCCAAUCCGAUCCCUUAAACAUGUUUCCUGAAGUGAUAUGAUCUGUAACACCCCAAACCCGGCCUAGACAUUAUGGCCAAAUUUGGGAGUGUUACGAAGAAGGGUUUUAAAAUCAAUCUUAUUAUUAUUUUCGUUAAGGGAAAUAUUGUUAAUUUGAUCUUUCAGAAAACUUAUUUUGCAGCGGAAGUUUGAUAUUGUUAAAGUUGAAAAUCGAGUUUGUGUUUUCAGAAAAUAUUUGCUUGCGUAAAACCGUAGUUUUGUCAAAUCUCACAGUAUAAAAGUCAAAAAACACAUACAAAACCAAAAUUAAAACAAAUAGUCCAGAGAGUCCCAAAAUUACAAAACUCUCAACAACAAUUCAAAUUUUUAAAAACAUCGUUAAUCAAAAUAGUUCGCGAACUAGUGGUCACCACUGAGACUCUGUCGCACCGACCCGCCUAUGUCUGAGGACUACCUUAACAAAACAGAUAACAUAUGUGAGUUUUCAUAAACUCAGUGUGUAACCCAACAGAGAUAGACAUACAAAUAUACUCAGAAUUUCCAUAUGCAAAAUAGAUAUACAUACAAACAUAAGUCCUUAACAGAACCAGAUAGUUAGAACACAGAUAUGCAAAAUCUUACCCCCAUCCUCUACACACCAUCUCCGACCAUCCUAUCACACCAUGUGGGGUAUAAAACACCCACCCAUCCCUACAUACCACAUAGUGUCUGCACGACACUUAUCAGAAUAAUUUGCAGCUAUGCUGCUAGAGUAAGGGCAAAAUAUGGCCUCACAGAACAUUCCUCCAAUAAAUAGAUCCCACCCCAUAUAUAUAUAAAUAGCAGAUAAUAGAUAUAAUAAAAUUAUCAAGUCUUGCAUGCUUAUAUAUAUAUAUAGGUAGCAUACAUGUUAUUACGAACUAGUCAAACCAUACAUAUCAAUUUCUAAAUGCUCAAAUCAGACUAUCAGAAUACAUGUAUCAUGCAUUAGGGUAUGUUUUGCCCUUACCGACCCGACCGAAGGCCCACAGUCGAUUGAAUCGACUUAUGUGACCAUAGAGAAGAUUUCAGAAUUUUGGGCUUACAUGCUUGUGUGGGCCUACACGCCCAAAUUGGCCUUGCUCGUGUGGCCCACACGACUUGGCCCCAAAUUGGCCUAUCCCGUGUGUCGCACACGCCCAUGUGGCGUGAUAGACCACUUUUUUGGAUUUUACCGAACCUUAUUUUUCUGUGUUUUUGUUACACACCUGGUUCAUUUUUUAUGCUACAACAAUCCCGAGACCACCAGAACCUAACAAUCACAAUACACGCUCCCAAAAUCAGUCUUACUCCUCAAUUAAACCAAAUUACAGAAAUUGACUACAGUGGAAAUCGAGUGUUCAUCACUUACCCAACUUCCCGAAUGAUCUCUAUUCUACGAUUCCACAAGAGGAGAGCUCCGUUCCUCACAAUUCGCUGUUGCCAACAACUCAAAAAAUCAAUACUAACGAAAAAGACAACAUCGUUAAAAAGAAAAACCGCUUUCAAAUAAAUCUCCCCUAACCCAUGCUAAACCUUUCAACCACUACUUACCAAGCCGUACGAAAACAGGAAGACCGAAACACCUUGAUUUGAAAGGGAGGUUAUGACAGAAAUCAAAAAGAAAAGAAAAAGAAAAUUUUGACAAUAGGAGAAUAGAAAAACGUCAUAAGGGAAAAAAAAUUGGGAAAAGAAAAUAAAAAUAAAAUAAUAUUUAAAUAAAAUAUCCCUUCAACUCCCACUAAUCCACAUCCAACCAGCUUAGAAUUUCAGCUCCACCCAAACUCUAUCAGACUACCAAGACAAAAAUUAUCAUCCUUGCUCCCGCAGGGACUCGAACACAAGACCUUUAGGCAAGUUAACUCCUUACCACUCGAACCAGCAAGCUCAUUCUAAUACAAGUGUACCGGAAGUAUAACAUAAGCCCACCCAACAGGGAUAAGACUAGGAUAAAAAAUAUCAUAUUUUUCAAAAGUGAGACUUGAACUCAAGACCUCAAACACACAAUCAGAAUACUCAGCCACUGAAGCAAAUACAUAUUUAUGACAUAAUUCACAGAAACAAGGUUAAAUAAUCAAGGCGUUACAUGAUCUUUAUUGAUGGGCUAGAUAAAAUCCACAAUAUCAGCACAACCAAAAAAUUCGGUUCAAUAAAUUGUCAAUCACCUAGAUAUGAAAACAGUUUAACCAAUUGCAGUGCUUCAGGAAGUGACACUUCCUCAAGUAUAUCUUAGUCAUUCCAUAGUUUUCAACAAUCUUCCCUUUUGACAAUUUGUUGAACAAAACAUAAACAACAAUUGGAGCUAUAUCAUCAGGUAACUUUAUCUCCCCCUUAGCAUUUCCCAUUAUUUCCAAAACUAUCUUAGAAAAUAAUUAAGUAAAUUAACCAUAUGUUGGUGUGGAACUUUGGUGAGGAAAAUUUCAAACACAUAAAAGGAGCUCAAACGGACCAUGAACAACAACUCGAAUAGAAAAACAAAGCAAUAAAACAAGGUUCCAAGGCGUGUAUCAAACAUCUAUCUUUAAGGUUCUAUUUGCUCUACCUAUACUCGGUGUGGAAAUGAGUUUCAAGCAAAUGAACCUCAAAGAUACAAUGAAGCUCGGUGACUAUUUGCGACUUGUAUUGAUGAAAUAGUUCACUAAGCACAAAACAGAGUAUAACAAAAAAAAUAAAUUUCUAUAAAGAAUUUCGGUAGUAAUUCUUUAUAGAAUAAUCUAAUAAUAGUAGAAGAUGGAGGAAUGAUAGAAAAAUCUUUUGAGAAUUUUUUGUAUUUUUUCAACUGAAAUCUCACUCCCAUUUAUAGGAAUACUUAUGUCUCUUAAUAGGGACACAACUUUCGAUAGGUGUCUUUUCUGAAUAAUCCCUUUUUAAAAGAGACAUAAUUAUGCAACUAAUAUCUUAUAAUUAUUCAAGUAAUAUUACUAGUAUAGUUAUAAUUCUUUGUCAAAAAUCAAGUGAUAUAACUCUUGACCAAUAACCAAAAUACAUUAUAUCCUUUUCCUGUUAUAUGGCUCAGAAGAGCUUCCCGUUUACAUGCUUAUAUAAGCAUACAAGUACAUGAAUUGAUGGGUUAUAGAUUUGUACACUUCGUGUGUACUACCCGUGUAUCCAACGAUAUUUUAAAUCGUUCAACGGGCAAAGUUCUGAUAAGAAACAAUAUGAGUUUGAAAUGAACAAUUAUGGGUGUAUACUUGAAUUACAUGGAAAUGAUAUUGAUGAUAAUGAAACAUGAAAUGGGAUGAUACAUGUAUAUGGAACUUGCUUGGUGAUUAUGUUCACCCAUGUUUAUGGAAUAUUACAUGAGAUUCACAUGACUAACAUGUUGAGGAUAUGUGUAUAGGCUUUUGGCUAAAUUGGUUUGGAUAUGUUAUGAAUGCUUACCUUAAAUGUGAAUAAAUGGUAAGUUAAAUUCCAUGUUAUACAAACUUACUAAGCUUAAAUGCUUACUCUAUUUUAUUUUCCACGUUUUAUAGUAAUUCAGAAGCUCGAUUUGGUUGGAAGUUGGUCGGAGCUACUUCACACUAUCCAUCAGCUUUUUUGGUACAUAUAGUAAACUAAUUUUGGUUAUAAUGGCAUGUAUAGGUUAAUUUGGCCAAUGAUGGUAUACCAAUAUUUUAUUGAAAUUAGCCAUUUGUAUGGCUUGUAUUUGGUAUAUUUUGAUGUAUAUAUACUUGUGGCCUUAUCAUGUUUGAUGUGUGCUUGAUGUGGUUGAAUAUGGGAUAAUUUAUAAGCAUAUUGAUGAUUGGUAUGAGAGAGUGUAUAUUUGGUAAAAAUAUUCAUAUAUGUGUAUUUGGUCAAUUUGGCAAGUUUGAAUACUUGGAUAUAUGUGUUGAUAUGUUAUGUAUAAAACUUUUUUUUAGCUUGAUUUGAAUGCCUUGUUAUGACUUGAUGUUGUGUAAGUGUUGUGUUAGGUUGAUGAUAAAUGAGGUAAGAAAUGUGGCUUGGAAAUGACCUAUUUUUGGCCACACAGGCAGAACGGGUGUGUGUCCCCUGUAUAUUAAAUUUGCACAAAAUAGAAUGCUUACACGGCCUAGCACACGUGUGUGUGGAUUGGCCGUGUGACAAGUCAUAGAGCUCAUAAGUUUGGACAUGGGUUGGGAAACGGCCGUGUGUCCCUAUUUUGAAUACCCACAUGGCCUGAGACACGGGCAUGUCUCUUGACUGUGUGAGACACAUGGCCUAGCCAUACGGGUGUGUGUCUCAUGCACCUUUGAAAAUUUUUAAUAUUUUCUGAAAAAUUCUUUGAGUACCUGAUUUAGUCCCGACUUGUUUUUAAUGUGUAUGUUGGGCCUCGAGGGCUCACAUAAGGAACAUUAUGCUUGAUUACGACUGUUUUCGGAUAUGAAUGCUAUAUGAUAUGAAAUAUCUGUUUAUUUGUUUUGUAAAUUCUGGUAAUGCUCUGUAACCCUAUUUCAGCGACGAACACGAGUUAGGGGUGUUACAACAACCUAAUGUCGAAAAGGGUGAGAAUCAAUGUCUUUAGGUUAUUGCCUAGAAUGAGUUUGUUAUGUAUGAGGUUAUGCUUGAGGGCGUGCAUGAUUAAGGAUAUAUAGGCGAGAAUAAGGUCUUGAUGACCCAAGAGGUGGAAGACCAUGUCGAGAACUCUACAACCAAUUCCUAGUUUGAUGGUGCAAUAAAGGAGGAUGUGAAAAUUGAUGAGCUCAAAGUAAAGGGUAUUGGUGCUGAUGGUGUGGGCAAAGGCGAUGCCCAAUGCUUGACAAAUUUGACAAGGAGUAAAGUCAGACAUAUAAUAAAAUUUAUUAUUUAUAAAAUAAACUAAAAAAAGAUAGAGAGAAAAGUUUGAAUAUGAUUUAAGUCUUGUUUGUGAGGGUUUUUUUAAAUAUUUUAUUUAUAAAAGUAUUAUUUUAAUAAAUAAAUUUUAUGUUAGAAAUAAGAGAAAAUGGGUAUUCAUUUAGUAUGCAUAUUUAUCAAAAAAUAAACUUUUAAAUAUUUUUAUUUUUGAAUUUUCAAGAAGUAAAAUUAAAUUGACAGAAUGUGUAAAGUUGAGAGCUAAAUUUGUUGGUUUUUUAGAUUUAAGGCUAAAUUGAUAGAAUCUAUCAACAUUGGAGGGUUAAACUUGUUAUCCAAUAAAAAAGGCCACUGUUAGUGAUUUAACAAAGGAGAGAUCAAAAUAUUAAAUUUCAAUAAUGAUAAUGACUAAAAUAGAAAAUUUUAAACUUGAGUGACCAAAAUAGAAACACACUAAUAAUUGGGUGACUAUUUUUAUACUUUGCCCUAGAUUGAAUAAUGGUUACCAAUUUUCGACCCCUUUGUUGGGUGACUAAUAAUUGGCUUGACUUACUUUUGAGCAAUCUAAAGUCUUUCCACUAUGUCGUUUAAAAACAUCAACAAGUGCUUAUCACCUUAUAAUAUAAUAGUCUAAUUUGAGAGAAACUUCAGUAUUGGGAUAAUUUUAUAAUCAAUUGGACAACGAAGCUAUCAGUUUUGUUCUUCAAGGAUAAUUAAGGUCUGGUAUGGAAACAUAACCGAUCCCUAAAUUUCCUGGACUUUGUUGUGCAUUUUAAAGUCUUUCUUUGGGUAAAUUGUAAAAAUAGUCACUCAAUUUUGGUUAAAUUUAUUUUUUUAUCAUUGAAUUACAAGAAGUUACGUUUUAGUUACUAACAGUAUCGAGUUAUAACGUAUUGGUCACUUGUCCAUUAACCGUCGUUGCAUCUUUGAAAGUGAUGUGGCACGUUAACUCAAGGGUUAAUAUCUAAAUUGACUCUAAAUUAUAGUUAAAAUAUUCUAUUUGGUCUUUUUACAACUUUUUAAUGAUGAUUCUAAAAUUAUUCAUUAAAAAUACAAGAAAAUGAAAAUUUUCAAAAAUUAUUUAUUUAUUUUUUAAAACAAUAAAAAUAUUUAUUAGAAAUUAUUUAUUUAUUCAUUAAAAAUGCAUUCUUUCAUGAAUCUUUUUACUGUAGCUUUUUAGAAAAUGUCGCGGAUAAUAUUGUUUUUCGUGAUGUUUUCUAAAAAGGUUACAAAAAAAACAUAGUUUUUAUGAUGUUUUUGCAAAUAGACACAAAAUAGAAGUCCCGAAAAUUAGAAUUCUCAUAGCGAUGACUCAAUCCCUUACCUUUAUUGUUUUAAAAAUAAUUUUUUAAAGAAAUAGGAUCUCAUGCAUAAUUGUUGAUGCACAUUAUAUUUAUGUUAUACCUCUCACAUUCUCAAUGUGUUGUAUUGUUGAACAAGUAAUCUUGUUACUUCUAUUGUGGCAAAUUCAAUGGAGGGAGUUGUCUUCUUAUUUCUACCACAAAAAGUUUCUCAAUUUAUUUCAUUGGGUGAAAAUCUAAUGGCAAUCAACAAAUUAGAUAACAAUUCCCAUGGUACUCGUUGGAUAACCCGGCCAUCUUUUUUUACGGGAUGUAAACUUUUCUAAAUAAUAAGAAAAGAAAAGAAAAGUUUGGGCAUUUCAAUUUAAGUAGCUCACCUCUAAUUGCUUACCUCCAUUAUUUUAGUAUACCUCAAUUAAUGAUUUCCCAAAUCAUUAUAAGAAUUAAUACCUUUCAAGACGAAUGUGUAACAUUUAUAACACUAUACUUUUCUUAAGACUUAGAUAUAAACUUUCCCCCUAGCUUUUAUAGUUGUUAUAUAGUCGUUGACAAGUCAUGUCUUGAGGCAAUCUAUCAAUUGUCUCUAGACACACUGCACAAUGUCUCAAGAAAGGCCGAUAUGAAUCAGUAUAAGUCAAUAUUGACUGAAACAAGCUAAAACAUACUAGAAUGGUCGAUACGCAUCAAAAUCUUAACCAAUACAUCGUAUUGGUUGAAGACCAGAAAGAUACGUAUCAAGCGUGUUCUAUGUUGAUAUCUCUUUUAUGUGCUGCUUUAUAUUUUUGUUCUUCUAAUAAGAUUUGUUUGGCUUAUAAAAAACUAUUUUUAUUAAAAUAAAAUAAAUGAAAACCUUAUGCAAAGAUUGAAAAAUGAGAUCAAAAUUUUCUAUGUUUUGAUAUUGAGCAUUUAAUAAUUUGUAGCUAUAUUCUACAAAGAAAAAAAAUUGCACCAAUACAAUUUCAUAAAAUUAUUACAAAUGAUCAUAAAAAUUUAGCGAAAUUUAAUAUUUCUAAUUGAUAUAAUUGGGAAUGGUUAUGCGAUUAAUAAUAAUCUUUUUGAACUUUGUUUAAUACAUGAUUUAUGCAAAACAAUAUUGGCAACUUAAAUUUCUGCAUGUCUUUUUAGAGCAUAAUAGAUUGGCGGAUUGUAUAGCCAAAGUUGUUCCUAGUAAUCUUAACAGGUUAUCAACUUUUGAAAACCAAGUUGAUCAUGCUCAAUCUUUGUUAGAAGAAAAUACUCAUCCAACAAUGAUUAAUAUAGAUUCCCAUCAACUUUAUUGUAACUAAUUGCUUGAACUUAUUUCUUUUUUUAAAAAAUUCACAAAAUACAAAAAUAACUAUUAAUAAACUUUAUAGCAAAACAAAGCAUCAGUAUAAAUAUUUAUCAAAGACAUUUCUAGAAAGCAAAGCUUAUGUUUAUUUUAGUCAACUUGAUAGCUACCACUUCAUCGAACUCAUUCUAUAUCUCUUAAUAACUUCACUUUGAUCUUCUUUAACUUUGUAACAAUCUCUUUCAUAUGAAGCCUCUCAUUUGGUAACUCAAAACAACAUUCUAAGCCCAGUUGCAAAAUGGAUAAGGCACAAUUCUGGACUUUUAAAUCUUCCCUUCCAAUGGUGCUCAACAACUUGGGAUCUACAGCUUGAUUUAGCGAAGAUGAUUUCGACUCUAUCACCCAACUCUUUAAGCUUCUUUCUCCUUCAAACAUUUCAUCUGUGGGCUUUUUUCUUGUGAUGAUUUCCAUCAAAAGAAUACCAAAGCUAUACACAUCACCUUUUGUCGAAACAAUUCCUUCGAUUCCAUAUUCUGUGUAUGAAUAUAAAAACAACAUUAUGAAUAUUCAAAGAUAUCUUGAUAAUGAAAAAUCCGUAUAAAAUAUACGAAACAUUAUAUGCUUGCAUGUUAUAAUUGAACUGGGAUUUAAUCUAGUUGCUUCCUUAAAAAGUCACAUUUAAUAUGUUUGAAACUCAAAUCUUAACAUAUAUGAUCCCUUUUGUUAUGCACAUGCUACGCUUACAUUGAAAAUGGAAAAAUAAACAUGGAGUCUGGUUAGAAGUAUCACCUGGUGCCAUAUAUCCAAAUGUUGCAAUUGUCAUGGUUUGUAUCAUUGAAACCUCUUCACAUAAGAGUUUGGUGAUGCCAAAAUCACUCAAAUGCGCAACCAUAUCUUUAUCUAAUAGAACAUUGUUGGGUUUUAAAUCACAGUGAACCACGGGUGUUGCAUUGUCGUGAUGGAGAUAUUCCAAUGCAGAUGCAACAUAUAUCAUUAUGUUCAACCUUUGUAGGAUAUCCAAAUAUUGGUUGUUGGAAUGCAACCAUUUAUCAAGACUCCCAUUAGGCAUGAACUCAAGAACCAACGCUUUGAAAUUAAGAUCAUUUGAGCAACUGCUUAUUACUUUGACUAAAUUUCUGUGACGAAUGUUGCGGAGAACAUCACAUUCAACAUCAAAGCUCUUAAAAGCUCAUUCUAACUCUAACUUGAAGAUCUUUACCGUAAUGAUCAUCCCAUCUGGGAGAGUCGCGUGAAAUAUUGAACAAUAACUUCUAUUACCAAGCAACCUACUAUCACUGAAUUUGUUGAAGUUAGCCUGCAAGCUGACAAGAAGCAACAGGAGCUUCCCAAGCCUAGUAGUUCCAGCUGAGGUUCAUGCUGCUGAUUUAUUUUGCUACUUUUGAAUGAUAUUUUGUAACUAGUUAGAUUAAAACUACAUUUUUGAUGUACUUGAUGUAAUUUGUUGAUGUUUGGGCUGAUAAAUCAGCUUUGCAAAGUGUACAAGUUAAGUUUGACAAGUUUCAAUGUACUUAAUGGUAGUAGGUAGUGUUUAGGUAAUUAUUUUAUUUCUCUUUGACCAACUUAUGUCUGGUAUAUGUAUUGGCAUUAUGCCAUUCUUCAAGUUAAUGAAAUAUUCAUCAAAGAAUUCAUCAUUCAAUGCUCUCAUGAUUCAUUUCUUUUCUUUUGUUCUUUAAGCAAAAUUCUAUUUUGUUUACACAGGAAGCAUCAAGCCUUCUAGCUCAAGAAAUUACUUGUUUCAUUCAUUUGUUCCAACAAUUGGUAUCAAGAGCUUAUUUCUUAGUGGACCUGUUAUUUUUAAAAUUUAAAAAAAAAUCAUUUAUUCAUCUGGUUUCUCUCCAACUCCACCACCAGUGUUUAAUGGUGAAGGCUACCACAUUUGGGCAGUGAAAUUGAAGACCUACCUGUAGGCAUUCGACUUGUGAGAGGUUGUUAACUUUGAUGUUGAACCAGCACCUCUAAGAGUCAAUCCCACAGUGGCUCAGAUCAGGCAGCAUAUAAAUGAAAGAACCAAAAGACACAAGGCCAUGUCUUACAUCCAAAAUAGUAUGUUUGAUGUGAUUUUCACAAGGAUCAUGGCUUGUGAGUCACCAAAGUAGGCUUGGGAUAGGUUGAAUGAGGAGUUUCAAGGGACUAAGAGAACAAGAUAGCAACAACUCCUGAAUUUGAGAAGUGACUUCGAAAAUUUAAAGAUAAAGGAGGAGGAAACUGUAAAGUAAUAUUUAGACAGAAUUAUGGCCGUUGUGAACAGCAUCAGAUUGCUUGGGGACCAGUUUAGUGAACCAAGAAUUGUAGAGAAGGUUAUCUCAACUUUUCCUGAGAGAUAUGAAGCCAAGAUUUCUUCCCUUGAAGACUCGAGAGAUCUGACUAGUAUCUUUUUGACUAAGUUGAUCAAUGCUCUUUAUGCACAAGAGCAAAGAAGGGUCAGCAAGCAGGAGGAGCAUCAAGAAGGUGCCUUCCAAGCCAAAAGUAGACCUGCCUCGACCUCCUCUGGCUACAAAGGGAGAAAGGCCUGGUCUGAUAAGCCAAGAAGAGAUGGAGCAAGAAGAAGAUAUCCACCUUACCCACAUUGUAGAAACCUCAGUCAUCUAGGAGAAAAUUAUUAGUUUAGGCCUGAUGUGCAGUGCAAAGUCUGCAAAAAGAUGUGCCAUGUUGAGAAAGUCUGUAGAAAUAAAGGCAAGCUGAGACAAAACCAACCUCAACAGCCAAAAGAAAGAGCAAGUCUUUGCAGUCUCUUACUCAGAUGCCAAAAGAAAAGGCAGAAAAUAAUGGCUGAUAGACAGUGGUUGCACAAACUACAUGACUCCUAAUGUUGUUAUAUUCAAGAACAUUGACAAAAGCUUUUAAACAAUGAGAUAUUGUUGGAUUUACUUCUUGAAGCACAAAUCAAAAGUAACCCCAGUAUUUUGAAAGUUUAAGGCUGCAGUAGAAACAUAAACAAGUUGCAAGUUGAAGACAUUGAGGUCAGAUAAUAGGACAGAGUACACCUCAGCAAUGUUUCAGAGUUUCUGUGAUGAAGAAGGCAUCAAGCACCAACUUACCAACACCUAGACACCUCAACAGAAUGGUGUUAGUGAAAGAAAUAAUAGAAGCUUAAUGGAUAUGGCAAGAUGUCUAUUGUUUGAGAGAAAUUUUCCCAAAACCUUAAGGGCUGAAGCUAUUAACACUGUUAUUUAUCUUCAAAAUAGGCUACCAACUAAGGCUUUGGUUCAUAAAACUCCAUUUGAUGCUUGGUUUGGGUACAAACCAUCACUUGCUCACCUAAAGGUCUUUGGCUGCAUUUGUUAUACACAUGUUCCUACUGUCAAGAGGGACAAGUUAGCCAAAAAGGCACAACAUGGUAUCCUAGUGGGCUACAGUAGUGUGAAGAAAGGCUAUAGGAUUCUGGAUCCUUCAACCAACAAAGUCUUUGUGAGCAGAGAUGUUGUGUUUAAUGUGAAUUCAGGCUGGAACAAGAAUAAAAAUAAACCAGAAAUAGUUGCUAAAGAUCUAAUGAUAGAUCAGACUGAAGCUGAUUGAAAUGAUCUUGAAAUAGACAUUGACCAUGAGCCAGUUAGGGGAACCAGACCUUUGAGUAAGAUAUAUGAAAGGGCGGAAGUGGCUACUGUUGAACCAAGAUACUUUGAAGAAGCUGAAGCUCAACAAGGAUGGAAACAGGCUAUGCUCAAUGAAAUGAGCAUGAUUUCCAAGAACCAAACCUAAGAGCUAGUUGCUAGACCAGCCAACAGGAAGAUCAUAGGAGUGAAACGGUUGUUUCGAGCCAAGCAAAUUGCUGAUGGAACUUUGAACAAGCUAAAGGCAAGACUGGUAGUGAAGGGAUUUAGUCAGAAGUAUGGCAUUGACUACUAUGAGACAUUUGCACCAAUAGCCAGGCUUGACACAAUUAGGCUGCUAGUUGCUUUGGCUGUACAGAAGCAGUGGAAAAUUCAUCAACUUGAUGUAAAGUCAAUCUUCCUCAAUGGUUUUCUUAAUGAGGAAAUCUAUGUUGAACAGCCUAAAGGUUUCAAAGUUUUUAGUGAAGAGGACAAAGUGGAUAAACUGAAGAAGGCCUCGUAUGGCUUGAAACAAGCAUCAAGAGCCUGGUAUGACAGAAUCAAUAGCUACCUAGCUAGCUCGGGGUUCGAAAGAAGUAUCAGUGAACCAACCUUGUAUGUAAAGAAAAAUGGCAAUGAAACACAGCUCAUAGUGUCUCUAUAUAUUGAUGACCUGCUGGUGACAGAAGAAAGUUAUAAAAUGCUGGCUAAUAUCAAAGAUAAAAUGAAGAAAAGUUUGAGAUGUCUGAUUUGGGAUAAAUGUCCUACUUCCUGGGAAUGGAAGUGUUUUAAACUCAGCAUGGGGUCUUUCUAAGUCAGAAGGCAUUUUUCUUGAAGAUUUUGAACAAGUUCUCCAUGUUGAAUUGUAAAGCAAUAAGUACUCCAGUUGCUGUUGGAGAGAAGCUGUCAAGCCAAGGUGAUUUUGAGAAGGUAGAUAACACAACCUACAGAAGUUUGGUUGGAUGUUUACUCUAUUUGACAGCCACUAGACUAGAUAUCAUGUUUGUUGUAAGUCUGCUAUCUAGAUUCAUGCACUGCUGCAAUGAGAAGCAUUUUCAACCUGCCAAAAAAGUUCUCAGAUACAUCAAAGGUACACUGAGUUUUGGAAUGAUGUUCACCAAGACUGAAAGCUUGAAGCUGCUUGGAUAUGUUGAUAGUGAUUGGGCUGGAUCGAUAGAUGAUAUGAAAAGCACAUCAGGGUAUCUGUUUACCCUUGGUUCAGUAAUUUUUUGUUGGAGUUCAAAGAAGCAAACUGUUGUUGCUCAAUCAACUGCUAAAGCAGAGAAUGUAGCAGCUGCUAGUGCAGCUAACCAAGCCAUUUGGCUAAGAAAGAUCAUGACAGACCUGAAUCUACACCAAAGGGAAGCAACAGAGAUCAAAUGUGACAAUUAAUCUGCUGUUGCAAUUGCAAAGAAUCCAGUGUUCCAUAGGAGAACAAAGCACUUCAAGAUUAAGUUUCAUUUUGUUAGGGAAAUGGAACAAACUCAAGAGGUGAAACUGAUUCAUUGCAGUUCUGAGGAUCAAUUGGUUGAUAUCUUGACAAAGCCCCUUAAUGUAACAAGGUUUGAGCAUUUUAGAGUCAAAUUGAAAGUUUGCAGCAUGCAAGCCAAGGAGGAGUGCUGAAGUUGGCCUGCAUGCUGACAAGAAGCAAUAGGAGCUGCCCGAGCCUAACAGUUCCACCUGAAGUUCAUGCUGCUGAUUUAUUUUGCUACUUUUGAAUGAUAUUUUGUAACUUAGUUAGAUUAGAACUAAGUUGUUGAUGUACUUAAUGUAAUUUGGUUGAUGUUUGAGCUGAUAAAUUAGCUUUGCAAAGUGUACAAGUUAAGUUUAACAAGUUUCAAUAUACUUAGUGGUAGUAGGUAGUGUUUAGGUAAUUAUUUUAUAAUUUUAAAUUAUAUAUAUACAUACAUAUAUUUUUCAUAUUUUUAUAAUUUUAUGUAUAUACACAUACACAUAUAUAUUUUAUAAUUUUUAUUUAUUUCCUUUAUUGUUUCGUUGUUUCGCAUGAUGUUUACUUUUUUAUUUAUGUGCCCAUUUUAUUUCAAAGAUAUUUUAAUUUGACUUGUUUAUUUACUUAUUAUCUUACAUAAUUGAUUCGUCUUUUUAUUUAUCUUUUAUUUGCUAUUGCUCGUGCUAUUUAUGCUUGUAUCAUCGUAUUUAUUAUUGUUUUGUUAUGCAUACCAACAAUGUAAUUUAUUUUCGCAUUUUUUACUAUGACAUCGUGUUUCAUUUUUACUCGAUAUAUCAAAUUUUUUUUAAAUAAAUAGCUUUUCGUAUUUUCAGAUUCGAAAAAGUCGUACCCUAACUUACGGGGUUUUGAUUUUCCUUGAUAAAUUCAAAUAUACGAAUCUUUUCAAACAUAAGUUUUUUAAACGAUCUCGGGGAUUAACAAAUGAUCGUGUUCUAACUUACGGGACGUGAUCUCUUUUCUAAACUAGAGAUAGUUGAAUAUCUUUUUAAACAAGUAAAUUUUGGCAUUUAUUCUCGUAUCGAGAAUUCAAUACAUUGUGUCCUAACGCAUUGGAUAUGACAUGUUUUCUCGAGAUGAGGGUUUUUCUAAAAAACAAUAAAGGCAAUAUUCAAUGUUUGGAAUUUUGAGAAAUUGGGCCCGAACAUAUUGUGCUUCGAUUUCUUCAUCUGACUUAAACAAUUGAAUAUCCUUUUAAAUUUCAUUGCAUGAGUUUUUUUAAAGGACAACCUCAUUUUUGAGGAUGUGAAAUAUCAUGCCCUAACCCAUUGGGUGUGACAUUUUUUCUCUUCGAAAUGAGAGGGUCUUAACAUGUAAUUUGAUUUAUACAAGUUUUAAAUAAAAGGAUUAUAUUUUAAAUCUCUUCAAAAUCUUCAAUUUUCGACACCAAGACACUAAUUAAUCAACUAGGUACCAAUUUUGAGCGUUACAAGGGUGCUAAUCCUUCCUCGUACAUAAUAGACUCCCGAACCCAUUUUUCUAAAUUUCGUGGACCAAAAUCGUUGUUUUAAUAAAAUCAAAUCGUUUAUUAAAAACAACCACUUUUCGAGGUGACCCGAUCACACCUCAUUAAAAAAGAUUGGUGGCGACUCCCACGUUCAUUUUUCAUUUUCAAAACCCAAGUCGACCCCGUUUACAAAAAAAUGGUUUCGACAGCUUGGCCCAAAUACAUGUCUAAAAAAUCAAUAGUAUCAAUACCCUUAACAAAGUAUCGGUACCUUUCACAAAAGUAUUAAUACCACUUUAAGGUUCGAUGUUUUGAAAAUUAAAGAAAAAUUACCUGAAUGUUGAUACCAGCCCCAAGGAAUCAGUACCUCAUAGCAAGUAUCGAUACAUUUCUUAUGGUACAGAUACUUUAGGCUUUAAUAUGGGUUGAGUCAGUUCGAGCCUGAGUUUAACAUGAUGUGGGUUGGGUUUGGACAAAAAUUUAGGCCUAUUUUUUGGGCCGAGCUUAGGCCUAACAAUCAAGCCUAAAGUUUUGUUAGGGCCCAUCCCGAACUCGGCCCGACCCGGCCCAUGGAGAACUCCAAGUAUAAUGACUUGUAUAUAGAGGUGAUUAUGGGCCGGGCUGGGCCCAAAAAAAUUUUAUGCCUAUUUUCUAGGCCCGGUCUCAGCCCGACCCAAAAUAUGUGCCUAAAAAUUUGUCCAAGCCCGGCCCGAAAGAAAAUUGUUAAGCCCGAGCCCGGCCCAUCCCGACCCAUAUUUGAUUAAAAAUUAAAAAAUAUUUAAUAUAUAAUUUGGAUUAAAGUCCAAAAAAUAUAUAUAUUUAAUAAAAAGUAUAUUUUAUUAAAAAUAAAAAUAAAAAUAUAUAUUUAAUAUAUAAUUCGGGCUGGGCUGGGCCGGGCCAAAAAAGUCUUACCCGAGGCCUGACCCGUUUUCUAAAUGGGCUUCAUUUUUUGCCCAAACCCAUAUUUCAGGCCUAUUUUUUUACCCGAACCCUCCUAUUUUUUAGGCGGACCGUUGGGCCGGGCCGGGUAGCCCAACCCAUGAUCACCUCUACUUGUAUAGCUCUUCAGGUUUAUAAAAAAAAGGUCAUUUUAGCAUUCUAUUUAAUUUUUUAUAUCUUUUAGCCUUUAAACUUGUUAUGUUGGUCAAAUCACCUCAAAACGGAUUGAAAAGUCCACUUGUAUGUCACAUCAACAAAUUAAUUUUUUAAAAUUUAAAAAUUCAAAACAAUUAUAAAAAUUAUUUUAAAAAACUUUAAAAAUUAUUUUUUUUUAAAAAAUUGAAAUUUAUUUAAUUGCUAAUAUGGCAUACAUUUAUGCAUGUCACGUUAGCAAAGUUAACGAACAUUAAUUUUUCCAUCCAUUUUUGGAGUAAUUUCACAAACAAUGCAAGUUUAAGGGCUAAAAAAAGUGAAAAAUUAAAUAGUGAACUAAAAUGAUUUUUUUUAUAAAGUUGAAGGGAUAAAUAAAUCAUUAUGCCUAAAGUAAAUAAAGCACCAUUAACAAGAUAUUUAACAUUAUAUUAGGUGUCAUACACGCUUCCAAGUCGAGUUGGAAAUUAAAGAAUAGUUCUCUCAUCAUUUUCUGGUAGUUUAUUAGUUUAUUUUUCAAUAUUCUUUUGAAAAUUAAUAUAUUCAUUAACAAAUGGUUAGCAUAUAUUACCUUCAAAGUGGUCCCCACCAAUAUAGAUGUAUUGAAGCAUACUCAAAUUCCCAAUUUCUAUUGGUAGGCUCCCCUCCAUUUGGUUAUACGAUAAAGAUGACAUUUGUAACUCUUUGCACUUGAAUAGACUGGCAGGAAUUCUACCCGAGAGCAGGUUAAGACUCAAAGCAAAUUCUUUCUAAUUUGGAAGAUGAUCGAACAUAUCUUCUGGGAUAUGACAACUGAGAUUAUUGAAAUUGAAAUCGAUGCCUUCUAGCAAAAGAAAAUCUCUCGUGGAAUAGAGGGUAUGAAACCAGAGAGCAUAUUAUUGUUUAGAUCAAUCUUUUGCAACUAAGAUAUAUUAAAGAUGGAGGAGGGUAUUGAACCUGAAAUCCAGUUUUUAGACAAGACCAAGAUCUGUAGCUUUGACAAAUAGCCUAAAGAGAAUGGAAUAGCACCUUUGAAGUUGUUGUGGUACAAAAACAAUCUUCGAAGUGCAGUUAAAUGAUCUCAACCAUGAUGGGAUUUCUCCACUGAAGGAGUUGUUACCAAAGCUUAAAUAUUUCAGCCGAUGCAAUUUGGAUAACUAGACAAGUAAUCUGCCGUAGAAACUAUAUUACCUGUCCAGUUAUCCAANNNNNNNNNNNNNNNNNNNNNNNNNNNNNNNNNNNNNNNNNNNNNNNNNNNNNNNNNNNNNNNNNNNNNNNNNNNNNNNNNNNNNNNNNNNNNNNNNNNNCAUCGGCUGAAAUAUUUAAGCUUUGGUAACAACUCCAAUUUCCCAAGUGAGGUGGAAGGGUGCCUACGAGUCCCAACCCAAUAAGGUUUAGAGCUGUGACUCUACGGUGCUUGGAUCCACAACUUACAGGCACUAUAGCAAAACAGGUUUUUAGCCACACUUUUAGCGGCAUUUGGAUAAAAAAUGCCGCUAUAGAUCGAUUAUUAGCGGCGCUUUCUGAAAAACGCUGCUAUAGAUCGAGCAUUAGCGGCACAUUUUGAAAAACGACGCUAUAGGUCAAACAUUAGCGGCGCUUUUUGAUAACACCGCAAAAAAUUAAACACAACGCAGUCGUUUUGUGUUAAGCUUUUGUGGCAUUAACGGCACUUUUUGAAAAACGCCGCUACAUAUCGAGCAUUAGUGGCGUUUUUUGAAAAACGCCGCUAUAGAUCGAGCAUUAGCGGCGCUUUUUGAAAAACGCCGCAAAAAAAUUAAACACAACGCCGUCGUUUUGUGUUAACCUUUAGUGGCAUUAGAGGCGUUUUUUGGAAAAUACCGCUAUAUAUCGAGCAUUAGCGGUGCUUUUAGAAAAAUGCCGCAAAAAAUUUAAGCACAACACCAUCGUUUUAUGUUGAGUUUUAGUGGCAUUAGCGGCGCUUUUAGUAAAACGUCGCUAGAGAUGGAGCAUUAGCGGCGCGUUUUGAAAAACGCCGCUAUAGAUCGAGCUUUAGCGUCGCUUUAUCGAAAAUGUCGCAAAGAGCAUUUUAUCUGUUUUAACUGGUUUAUUUAUAUUAAUUAAAAUACAGUUUAUUUUUAAUUGAAUAUUUAAAUUCUUCAAAAAAAUAAUAACACGUAGAAAAAUUUUGAAAGUAAAAAUAUAGAAAAAUAUUUGUUAAAAAUAAAAAAUAAAAUACCAUUAUUUAAAAUAAUUUUAAAGUUUUUUGGUACAUGACUGAUUGUUUUUUAAUUUAUAUAUUAAAUAAUUUCUUAUAUAAUCGUAAAAGAGAUAGUAUUAUUUUUAAAAUAUUGAAUUAAUUAUCAUUGUAGUUUAGAGUUUAGGGUAUAAGGCUUAGGAUUUAAGGUUUAAGGUUUAGGAGUUAUUAUUUUAAGGUUUAUGGAUUAUGGGUGUAGGGAUUAUAGUUUAAGGUUUAGGGGUUGAGGUUUAAGGUUUAGGGGUUAAGGGUUAAGGGUUUAUGUUUUAUGUUUUAUGAUUUAGGGGUUAAGGGAUAGGGGUUUAAGGUUUGUAUUUAAAAAUAUUUAAUCUAAAUCAUUUGAUAUAUUUAAAUAUUAGAUUUAAAAAAGAACAUUGAUAAAUAAAUAAAUAAAAAUAACAUAUCUAUAUGAAUAGUUAACUAUCUAUUUUAGAUAGAACCAAAUUAUAACAAAUAAAAAUAAAAUAUAAAAACUAAAAUCAUUCCACAUCACUUUUUAUCCCAAAAUUUCCCCGGGAACCCCUAAUUUUUCCCUCCUAAAAUCCUUGAAGUGUUUCUCUCUGCCACCACAAUCUUCAUCAUCAUCUUCCCCUCUCUCCCUCUUUUUGCAUACAUCUCAGAAGAGGAAAAAGAAAAAAAGGUAAAGAGAAAAACAACGCAAAUGGAAGAACCUCAAAACGGAAACGGAAAGUUGAAUACUAUCGCAGAGGAAGAGGAGGAGCCGGUUAUAGGACCAGGACCCGCCCCUCGAGCUCAACCGAAGCGCCCGCUCCAGUUUGAACAAACAUAUCUCGAUUCCCUACCUUCAACUAACAUGUAACUUUCUUCUUCUUCUUCUUCUUCUUCUUCUUCUCACUUCAGUAAUUAUUUAUUUAUUGGAAUUUUGUCGCUUUCUCAUGGUUUCCGUAGGGUUUAAUGAAAUUAUCUUCUUUGCUUUGGAGUUUAGGGUUUUGAAUUCAAGCUUCAGCCUUUUUUCAUUUUGUUUUUUUAAGUGAAAAAAGAAGCAAGGAGCAAAGGAACCGACAAAAUAAACCUUAAUUUCUUUGUACUGAAGUUGCGAAUAAAGAGCUCCAAGAGCUCAUGAUGUAUGCCUCUUUUUUUUGUGUGUGUGAUUUCUAGGUAUGAGAAAAACUAUAUGCAUCGAGAUGUAGUUACUUAUGUUGCUGUAUCGUCUGCAGAUUUUUUUCAUCACUGGAAAUGUUGAUGGUAAGCUUUAUGAUGUCAAUAUUUAUAAAACAAUAUCUGAAAGUCCCAAUAUUGUAUUGAUAAAAGAAAGUGUCAUUAUCUAAAGUCUGCUUUAAGUGUAUAUAUGCUUCUUUUCUCAUUCGGGUUUUUCGUUUAAAUUUUAUCAGUAAUAUUUGAGGCUUUAACAGUGAAUGGGAUUUUGGUACUGGCUUAUAGAUUGCUUGUCUUCAUUUUAUUUAUUUAUUUUUACUAGGGCAUUUGAAAUUUUGGAAGAGGAAAGCAGUUCGGAUUGAGUUUGCAAAGCAUUUUAGAUCCCACCUGGAUCCCAUUGAAGGUCUCUCGGUGAGUUUUCCCUCCUUAUUUCCCAUAUGCAUAUUUUAUUGACUGCUAUGGAAGGCUUAAGUGAAAGUUGGUGUUAUUGCGAUAAUUAACACCAGCUAUUGUGAAUUACUUAGUUAAUUUCUGAUCUCCUGUCUAAUUACAUUUGUCACUGCUUCUUUUUAAUAGCGGAUUUUUAUUUCAUUGACAAUGAGCCCAUGAUUGCUUUAGAUUGCUAGUCCACCUAGAUCUUGCACAGGCUAUUUGUUAUCUUCUUUCAUCCAGUGAAAUUUUGUUUCUGUUGAUGUUCUGAUUUUUAUAUUCACCCCAUGCAAUCUAAGUUGCAAGAACAUCGUUGCUGUUGAUGUUUUUGUUUCUCUCGAUUAGUUGUUGCUGUGAAUCUGAUUUGAAAGGUAUGCAAAAGCUGUUAAGACUUAGGAUUGAUGACAGUGAUAUAAUUGUUUAUGAAAGAAACUUGGUGUGAUAUCCUUAACCGGUUCUAUCAUGAAAAUAAUAGUUAUCCUACUUGAUUUUGCUCAUGGCGAAAAGGUAGUUAUAUUGCAGCAGAGUCAUGAAACUUAGGCAGUAACAAGAUGAUCCAUAAAGAAUAAAGCAGAAUAGCACAUAUACAUUUUCAUUUAAUUGAACAUAGGUGCAAUGGUGCAGCUUUACAUGCAUGAUAAUAUAACACAAAUAUAAUAGAAGGUUGGGGUCAUAAUGGCACAAUGUUUGGAUUUCUGUUUAGUUUUUUUUACCAGAAAUUUUCGGUGUGAGAGUGACCUUAGCGUUGGAAAGGUAAAUAAUUGGAAAACUUAAGGUAAUUUUUGGGGUUUUUUAAUAAAAAAAGAAAAAGUAAGAGUGUAUGAGAAUAUGAUGUGAAGACAUUUUUAGGAUCAUGAAUAACAUGAUCUUUUAAUGCUAGAAGAGCUGAUUGAUCUGUAAGUAUGGUGGUUAAUUUCAUCAAGAAAGUAGGCAUAGAAAAAUGGAAGAUGAUAAGAAGAGCUAAGUUGAGGAAAGUAUUCCCCAUUUGAAUUUGGGUGUUUAUGAAGCUACCAACAAAGGCAGAACUAAGAUUGCUAGACAGAUAAUUGAAUGACCACACAACUUCUUUUACAUAAUAUGUGUGUAUAUAUAAAGGGAGUUUAUGUUGCAAUUUCUUUUUGCGAGAAUGCAAAUGCUUUUAAUGCGAUUUACGUAUAAACUAUGGAAUUUAUUAUAGGAUGUGAUAAUAUAAUUAUGUAAUUAUUGCUUAAGAAACUUCUUUCUAAAUUUCUUUUUAUUCUUAAGAAAAUUACAAUAUUAAACUUUACAUAGAAAAACUAAAUAGUAUUGUAGUUAAAUUGCACUUGUACAAAGGUUACAACUUUUUCAUUAAAUUAUUUUAGAUUACUGAAAUUAUUAGAUAAGAAUGAUAAAAUUAUAUAUCAAAUACAAAAGUAUAUAGAGUGACAACUGAACAGUCACUUCGAAGAAUAUACACAACCCUACCGCUUGCUUAACUAGCGGCAUCUAAACACUAAUAAAUUUUUGUUUCUAUUGACUAAAAAUUUUUUGAAUAAAAAAGAUAUUGACUAAAAAUUAAAAUAAACCAUGAAAUUUCUUUGAGGUUGAAAGAUUUUAUUUAAAAUUUUUUUUUGAAUAAUAAUUUAUUUGGUCUUUUAUUUAUUUUUUAUUUUUGUAAUCUUUAAAUUUACGUUAUUUGUCAAAUUACUCCAAAACAAAUGGAAAAGUUAACUUUUUUUAACUUUGCUAAUGUGGCAUACACGUGGAUUGUCACGUGAAUGCCAAGUUAGCAAUUUUUUUUAAAAUUUAAAAAGUAAAAAUUAUUAAAUUAUUUUAAAAUUUAUUAAAUUUUUUAGAAUAUGUAAAAAUAUAAUUAAUUGCUAAUGUGACAAUUCACAUGUAUGUCACAUCAAUAAAAUUAAUAAAUACUAAUUUUUUUAUCUAUUUUAGGUGAUUUGACAAACAAUACAAUUUCAAGAGUUAAAAAGAGAUAAAUAAUUAAAUAGAGAGCUAAAGUAUAAAGUCUUUCCACUUUGUUGCUUUAGAAAUGAUUGAAAAUUUUAUAUUAUUUAAAUAGAAAACAAACAAUCUUCUAAUUAUUAAUUAAAAUAUAAUUUAUUUAAAUCAUUUAAUUAAUUUUUAAUUAAAUAUUUUUCUUAAUCUAAUUUUAGUUUUGUUACAAUCACGACAAUUUCACCAUAAAAGAAUCUAUAAAAAAAUAUAUUUAAUUUUUUUAUUCCGGAUAAGUAAUGAUUAAUUAAUUUAAUCUCAAUUUUAAAAUUUAAUUAUUUAAUUAUAAUUAAUUAAAUAAUAAUUUUAAAAAUCUUAAAAUAAUUCUCAAGUCAUUUCUAUUCAUUUUUGUUCAUUUCUAUCCAUUUAAUUUUAUAUACAAUUUAUUUUUUAUUUCAACCAGCUAACUAUUUAAUAACUGUAAAAUACAACGUAGAGAUCAAUAUAUGGAAAUAUAAAUUUUAAAUUUUAAAUAUUUUUUGUUAUAUAAAUUAUUAUUUGAAGUAUGAAAUGUUAUUUUCUUAGCAAAGAGACUAGUGUUGGGAACAUAUCCACUCACUAAUUUUUCGUGACUGUUAUAAAUUGAAGGGACAACUAUAAAAAUAGUCACUCAGUUAUCAUAUUUCUAUUUUGGUCACUCGAGUUUAAAAUUUUCUAUUUUAGUCACUAAUGUUAUCAAAAUUUAAUAUUUUGGUCAUUCUUCCAUUAAAUCACUAAUAGUGGUCUUUUUUUAUUGGAAUAAUAACAAAUUUAACCCUCUAAUAUUUAUAGAUUCCAUCAAUUUAGCCCUAAAUCUAAAAAAUUCAACAUUCAUAUUAAUAUUUAUAGAUUCUAUCAAUAUUAGUAAAUCAUUUUUAAUGAAUUUUACAUUUUUGAAAUUAUUUUAAUUUUAAUCUAGUUUAGCUAACUCGAGUGUUAAUUUUUGAAACUGUUAAAAUUUCUAAAUGUUACUAUUAUUGAUGAAUAAUUGAUGAAAUAAGUAUUACUUGAUUAGAUUUUUCUACUUAGAUAUGAAAAAGGAUUAAUUGUCAAUUAUCAAUUCCAAAUAAAAAAAUUAUUGAUAUUUUCUAUUAUGAAAAACCAUUCUCAAUGUGUUGUAUCGUUGAACAAGUAAUUUUUACUUCUAUUGUGGCAAAUUCAACGGAGGGAGUUAUCUUCUUAUUUCUACCGUAAAAAGUUUCUCAAUAUAUUCCAUUGGGUGAAAAUUUUGAGUUAGAUAAUUAGAGUGCUUCAAAAUCUCAUGGCAAUCAACAAAUUAUGUGAACGUGUGUGAAAAUAGGAAGGAUAUUAGUCUUAAGCAAACAAAAGUUUAGAUGACAAUUCCCAUGAUACUCGUUGGAUAAUUCAGUCAUCUUUUUUAUGGAAUGUAAACUUUUCUAAAUGAAAGGAAAGAAAAGCUUGGGCAAUUCAAUUUAAGUAGUUCACUUCUAAUUGCCUAUCUCCACUACUUUAGUAUACUUCAAUCAAUAAUUUCUCAAAUUACUAUAAGAAUUAAUACCUUUCAAGGAGAGGGUAUAACAUUUACAACACUAUCUUUUUCUUAAGGCUUAGAUAUAACCUUUCCCUCUAGCUUUUAUAGUUGUUAUAUAGUCGUUGGCAAGUCAUGUCUCGAGACAAUCUAUCAAUUGUCUCUAGACACACUGCAUAAUAUCUCAAGACAAGCAGCUCCUAUCAAUCGGUACAAGCUAGUACGAACUAGUAUAAGUUAGUAUUGACUGAAACGAGCUAAAACAUACCGGAAUGGUCGAAACACAUCAAAAUCUUAAUUGUCGAAACCUUUUUAUUUUUGUAAAAGGAUCGACUUGGAUUUUGAAAAACGAAAACGAAUAUGUGAGUCACCACCAAUCCUUUUUGAUGAGGUGUGAUCAGAUCACCUUGAAAAGUGGUUGUUUUUAAUAAACGAUUUGAUUUAUCAAAACAACGAUUUUGGUCCACAAAAUUUAGAAAGAUGGGUUUGGGAGUCGGUUACGUACGAGGAAAGAUUAGCAUCCUCGUAAUGCCCAAAAUUGAUACCUAAUUUAUUACUUAGUGUCUUAGUGUCGAAAAUUAAUAAUUUUGAAGAGAUUUAAAAUACGAUCCUUUGUUAAAAAUUAAAUUUUUUCGAGAAAGGGGCAUAUUUCACGUUAAUCAAGAUAGAGAAUUACGUCCCGUAAGUUAGGACACAAUGUCUUAAACCCCGAUACGAGAAUGAAUGCUGAAAAAUUUACUUAUUUGAAAGAUAUUCAAUUAUCUCGAUUUUAGAAAAGGAAUUAUGUUCGGUAAGUUAGAAUACGAUUUUUUUAUUAAUUCUCGAGAUUGUUAAAAAACUUUAUGUUAAAAAAGGGUUAUUACAUUUGGAUUUAUCGAGAAAAUCAAAACCUCGUAAGUUAAGGAACAACUUUUCGAAUUCCAAAAUGCGAAAUAUUGCUUAUUACAAAAUAUGUAUUGGGUAAUGAUUAAUGUAAUAUGAAUUGGUAGAAAUAAAGUACGGUGUUAAUACGCAUAACAAAAUAAUAAGUGCGUUAAUGUGAAUGACAAUAUGGAGAAUAAAAUAAAAUAAACAAGUCAAAAAAAAUAAGGAUAACGAACUAAAAAUUUAAAGCUAAAGACCUAAUAUUAUAGAAAUAAAUAAAUAUUGUAUAAAAAUUUAAGAAUAAUAAUAUUAAUAAUAAUGAUAAUGAUAAUAAUAAUAAAAUUUAAAGUUUUUCUAAAUUAUAUAAAAAGACAUAAAUAAAUUGAUGAUAAAAUAAAUGUAUAUAAAAUAUUUAGGUAAAUAAAUAUAUAAAAAAAAUAUAAUAGAAAUAAUAAUGCAAAACUCAUUAAUUUAAUAAUAUGGUAAUAAUGACGAGUAAAUAAAUAAAAUGGGGAAAAUAAUAAUAGUAAUAAUAUUAAAUUAAUUAAAUAAUAAAAUAGCAAAAAAAACAAAAAAUGACUAAAUCGAAGCUUAAAACAAAAAUUUGGGACAAAUCAAAAAUAAAUAAGAAAGAAAAGGACCAAGUUGAAUGCGCGAAUAAUAAGGAUGAACCAAAUGAGAAAUAAUCCCCACCCUCCAAAAUGGCGGCCAGAAGGCCAAAAAAUUCUCUUUUUCGUGCAAUCAGAAAAAGAUAAACCUUCUUUGUGUUCUUUUUUUAUGUGUAUAUAUGUAAAAAUAGCUUCGAAAAAAAAGGAAGAAAAUAAAAUAAAAAUAAUGAAAAAAAAAACAAAAAGGAAGAAACACCUUAAUCCUGAUUCAGUUUGCUUUGUAUUUCUUGUUUUUUAUUUUUUCUUGUUUGAAUCAGUUUUUUUUUUUUUUUUUGAAAAAAUCCCCUGCCUGUAGCCAAUAUACAAAUUGUUCUUAUUACUUUGCGUGUUUGCUUCACUUUUGUAGGGUAGUUGAUGGGCGGUGGAGCAAGUGGUCGCAGUGGAUGGGCGAUGGAGGCAAGUGGCUGUCAGAGGUGGCAGAGGCUAGGUGCGACAUAACAGGGUUAGGGGCGAGGGUUUCUGCUAAAGAGUUCAGGUUUUGGGCCAUUAGGGCUUUUUGUAAUUUGGGCUUGUUGGAUGUAAUUUGGGCUUGUAGGGCUUUGGGUGUUGAAUUCUGUAAAAAAUUAGACUUUUUUUUAUUUUUUUGGUAUUAUUUAUUUGAUUUUGGAUCCAGGCAAAUUGGGCCUGCUACAUUUACCAUAAUGAAACCUAUACUACUUCAUAUUGGUUGAAGACCAGAGAGAUACGUAUCGAGUGUGUCAAAUGUUGAUGUCCCUUUUAUGUACUGUUUUAUAUUUUUGUUCUUUUAAUAAGGUUUGUUUGGCUUAUAAAAAGUAUUUUUAUUAAACUAAAAUUUGCUAUGUUUUGAAAUUGGGCAUUUAAUGAUCUGUACCUAUAUUCUUUAAAAAAAAUAUAUUGUACCAAUACAAUUUCAUAAAAUUAGUACAAAUGAUCAUAAAAAAUCAGCAUAACUUACUUGAACUUAAAUACAUUGCUAAUUGAUAUAAUUGGGAACGGUUAUGCGGUUGAUAAUAAUCUUUUUGAACUUCAUUUAAUACAUGAUUUAUACAAGUAAUAUUAGCAACUUAAGUUUCGAUAUGUCCUGCGAGAACAUAAUAGACCGACAGAUUGCAUGACCAAAGUUGUUCCUAAUAAUCUUAAUAGGUUAACAACUUUUGAAGACCCAGCUGAUCAUGCUCGAUCUUUGUUAGAAGAAGAUGCUCAUCGAGCAAUGAUUAAUAUAGACUAUCAUCAACCUAAUUGUAGCUAAUUCUUUGAACUUGUUUCUUUUUUAAAAAAAUUCACAAAAUGCAGAAAUAACUAUUAAUAAACUUUAUAGGAAAACAGAGCAUCUGUAUAAAUAUUUAUCAAAGACAUUGCUAGAAAGCAAAGCUUAUGUUUAUUUUAAUCAAUUUAACAAUGGCCUCUUCAACGAACGCGUUGCAUAUCCCUUGAUAACUUUACUUUGAUCUUCUUUAACUUUGUAACAACCUCUUUCAUAUGAAGCCUCUCAUUUGGUAACUCUGUAGAACAUUCUAAGCCAACUUGCAAAAUGGAUAAGGCACAAUUCUUGACUUUUAAAUCUUCCCUUCCAAUGGUGCUCAACAACUGGGGAUCUACAACUUGAUUUCGCGAAGAUGAUAUCGACUCUAUCACCCAACUCUUCAAGCUUCUUUCUCCUUCAAACAUUUCAUCUGUGGGCUUUUUUCUUGUGAUGAUUUCCAUCAAAAGAAUACCAAAGCUAUACACAUCACCUUUUGUCGAAACAAUUCCUUCGAUUCCAUAUUCUGUAUGAAUAUAAAAACAACAUUAUGAAUAUUCAAAGAUAUCUUGAUAAUGAAAAAUUUGUAUAAAAUAUCCGAAACAUUAUAUGCUUGCAUGUUAUAAUUGAACUGGGAUUUAAUCUAGUUGCUUCCUUAAAAAGUCACAUUUAAUAUGUUUGAAACUCAAAUCUUAACAUAUAUGAUCCCUUUUGUUAUGCACAUGCUACGCUUACAUUGAAAAUGGAAAAAUAAAAAUGGAGUUUGAUUAGAAGUAUCACCUGGUGCCAUAUAUCCAAAUGUUGCCAUUGUCAUGGUUUGUAUCAUUGAAACCUCUUCACGUAAGAGUUUCGCGAUGCCAAAAUCACUCAAAUGAGCAACCAUAUCUUCAUCUAAUAGAACAUUGUUGGGUUUUAAAUCACAGUGAACAACGGGUGUUGCAUUACCAUGGUGGAGAUAUUCCAAUGCAGAUGCAACAUCUAUCAUUAUGUUCAACCUUUGUAGGAUAUCCAAAUAUUGGUUGUUGGAAUACAACCAUUUAUCAAGACUCCCACUAGGCAUGAACUCAAGCACCAACGCUUUGAAAUUAAGAUCAUUAGAGCAACUGCUUAUUACUUUGACUAAAUUUCUGUGACGAGUGUUGCAGAGAACAUCACAUUCAACAUCAAAGCUCUUAAAAGCUCCUUCUAACUCUAACUUGAAGACCUUCACCGCAAUUACCGUCCCAUCCUGGAGAUUCCCUUGGAAUACUGAACCAUAACUUCCAUUACCAAGCAACCUACUAUCAUUGAAUCCAUCAGUAGCUUGACGAAGCUCGUGGUAUGAAAACCGUCUCCACGUUCCUAAAGGUAUCAUGUCUUCUUGAGUUGGCAAUUUGUCUUUCCUCCUGUAUUGCAAGAUAAUGAUUAUCAGAGCCACAACCAAAAUUGUGGAGGCAAUUGGCAGAGCUACAUAUAUUAGGAGUUUAGUUUUUGCCUUGGAAUUUCUAAGAGGUCUAGUUUUGCAGUUUGGAACAUGAAGUCGAGCUGCACCACACAAGGCUUCAUUCCCCUUAAAUGAUUCGAUUGUGUAGUUUUCAAAUGAUCCUCC